CGCCAAGUAAGUAAACCACCCGACCCUAGUACGAACUCUUUGGGAGCCCUCAUUUCGCCUAGAAGUAACUACAACUACAGGUAUUCACCAACAACAAGAAAAGUACUGGCAACCGAAACUCCCCUUUCUUGACUUCCCCAUAAGACUUCUGGCUACCCUUUCUUUACUUCCCCGACUAGACCUCUGUUAUUGAUUACUUGACUAGCUGCCCUUUAGCGCUACUUACUAUGUUACUUGGCCCGAGCUCUAAGUGCUGUUUUUAUUCUGAUUACUCUUCCCCAGUAGCUGGGAAUCGGUGGUACUGGUUCCAUUCUGUCGAGUAGUGGUUGCAUUCUGGUUAGCACUAGCAUCAAGUCCGAUUAGCUCAGGUUGAAGUCUGACUGAACUGCUUAGCUGCUACGUGGGCAUGAGCACUCUGCUUGGCUCCUACUUAAGAGUAUCAUUCUGACCUAGCCCACAACUAUUGAAGAGUAUUCUCCUUUCCUUGGCACUGACUCAGAUCCAGCUACUGAUCUUAUAGAUUCAAUAAGAACAGGAUAUUCUCCACUGUAAACUGGAACAGGCCGACAAGGAGCUACUACAGCAUCAACACUGGAACCGACUCACUACAAGCAGACAGCUUUCAAGUAUGGGCAAGUACCGUAUUUUGAGUUUCAAUAUAAAUAGAAGAUGGAUUAGUUUACUCGGCGCGGAAGGGAAGAGAUAGAUCCAAUUCUGAACUUGAAGUAUGGGUUGGGUCGGGAAGCUAAGGGAUGCAACAAGAACAGAAAUCUACUUUUUACCAAAACCCGUGUUUUUUAAUAGCCAAGGGGAGCUCCUGCCGCGGUUUUAACUCGCUGACGCGACACAUUAGUAGUGUCUUGUCUAGUAGUUCCUUGGCCCGCUAAUAGAUCACCAGAUUUCAAUGAGCUUUUUCCGUUUUCCCGUGUUUUUUCAUAGCCAAGGUAAUUUCCCUCCUGGACCGAUCUAUUUCCAUGAUCUUUUCACGUUUUACCGUGAAACAACACUGCCGCGUAACAUUCUGUUCCUUGGCGGGUAGCAAUCAGAUUUCCCCUGCUAAAGGGUUCCAUUUCUCCUCUUUUUUUCAUAAACCCCGUGUUUUUUCAUAGCAAAGCUUACUUCCUCUAGCUCUUUGAACUCCAACAAAACAGGAUUUCUUUCCCACUCUUGACCUUCCCUUCCUUAACUUGGCUUUCGAACCUAGACAAUUAAGUACUACUUUCCUAGAGAAUUAGUAGAGCUAGAGCAACAACUAGAGCUAGAGCACCAACCUCUUCUCUUAGCGCCUAAGCUUGUUCUUCACUUUCUAUUAUUAAGUAAGGCAACUCCCUUUCCAUACUUUAGAACCAGAACAGGACCACUACCCGCGCCCAGUAUAAGUAAGUAAACAAGCCUAGCCUAACAAGUCAGUAAACUAAGUAAGUAAACUAAGUAAGUCAACAACACUACCCGAGUAAGUAAACAAGCCGAUCCCUAUUAACUUCUUUCAACAAGCCCAGCAGCUGGCAACCGGAAUAGCAAACAGUCAAUAUAUUCUAACUAGUUGUUCCGAGUCCUAAUUCCAAGGCGUCAGGGCCUCUAGUGUUUCCUGGCAACUACUAAAAGCACCAAUUACCCUAAGCAGAAUCGAGACCUCACCACCCGCUAUAGAACUCAAAAGGGCUGUUUUUGUCUACGUUGCUUGUAUAGUAGUUACUUGCACUUAUUAACGCAGCUUGCCUAUGAAACAUCCUGUCCCAGAGAGUGGCUUUGAACCUGUAUUGAUGUUAGGAAAAAUGCCAUAGAACAGCUGAGAAAGGCGGAGAUAGUUGAUUCACAAAGUUAUUAGUCAAUUCCAUUCAAGUUGACCAGAGAGAGAGGAUCGGUGCUUAAUCCUUUAGGGGAGAGUUCGGUGCUCUAGCUCCUUUCCUUGUAUAGGGCAGAGGUGAUUGUGUUGGUGACGCUGGCAGAAGAGGAUUGAGCUGGGCAUAAUAGAGUCAGACUUGCUUUAGUUGCUAGCCCUUACUAUUAAAGGUUAACUCCUUCUCUUACCCUGCCUUAGUAGCUUGUCGACUUGGCCCUUAGUGACUUGGCCAGCAUAUAGGGCAACUCAGUAGUGAGAGUCGGAAUUGACUAAGGAGUUACAGGCUUAAACAAGUACAACUCAGAAUAGACUAGUGAACAGAAAGACUCAAACAAACACCGAUCAGACUCAAGUCAGCUACUAAGACACCUAACAACGCGACUGAAACCAGUAACAACUAGAAUGCAACUGGCAACUAGCAGGCUGAAACAAGUGCUAACCGGAAUCGAACUACUAACAACAGGACUACAACCAGUGCCACUAAGCCUUAAAAGCACUAACUCCAAGAUUGAAACCUGUGGGAGCUAUACUGGAACCACUAACAACCCGACCCGAGUCAAAGAAUUCCACCAGCCUGGUAUAUAGAAGAUAAGAUCAAAUGCAUUCUUUGUUUUCAUAGGUGCCUUCCCGCUCUAACAGAUUGCUUUGGGUAGCCUUCUUCUCGAAUUGAAAGAGCUGGAUCGGGAUCAUAACCCCUAUUUCUAGAAGUUGAACCACCAAGCCCCUACUCAAAUGAGGCUCUCUUCUCUUUAUAUUGGUUUCGGAGCUGCUCCUGCUGAUUCUACCUUUGAUGCCAAAGGAUCAGGUACUGGCUUUGAUGCCAUAAGUUCAUGAGUUGGCGAAAGGGGUGUCGCGGGAAGGGGAAUCCUCAAGAAUUAUUGUUACCCCCCGCUCCCUAUAAUAGUGGAAAAACUGUCGUCAACUGAUUGGUCCAACAAGAAAAGAAUUAAGAGCUAGUGAGGAAGCGGGAAUCGAAGUUGUAUCAGAAGCUGGAAGUAAAGGCUUUUUAGCGAGGUGUACUAAUGAGGGUGUAGUUAGCAGAGAUGAGCCAGUACUUUCGCAGUUUCACCCUGACUUUCUUUCUUUCUUUGUCUUUGAAGACCUGAUUGAGAGGAUAGGCGGGCAACCAAGGAAAAGAGGCUAAAUCUAAAGAAUCCCAGUUUGUUAGCCAAAGGCGAGCAGUAACGCAGUGUUCGAACAAGCAAGGAAGGGGGAGGGAAUAUAUAAUCAAUCCAAAAGUGAACAAGCCGACUCUACGGAAGGAAUAUGCUUAGCGCGCAGAACUCGCUAACUCCACUGAGCUUCCAAUCAUAAAUGAGUAUUGGUGGGGUAAGGGAAGAUUAUCUCAAUGCGCGCGUCGUGGUCCAAGCAUUCAAGGCUGGUCUUGUCUUCAAGGGGAGUUUUGGUCGGGGAAUAAUAAUAAAGUGACAUUUUCGUUUUCAGAUCAAGAUCGGAGGCCUGAAUAGAAGAUGGAUCUGGAGAUAAAGCUUUAGCUGUAGAAAGGUUAAGGGCAGAAGCGUUUCGUAGAGUUCUUGUUUCAUCCUAGUCCACUUCUGAAUCCGCAGUAAGAGAAUCCGCAGUGCCCGGAAAGUAGUAUAGAAUGAGGCCGUGAUAGCCUUAAACGAUAAAGAAGCCCAACUCUAUAUCCGCGUCAACAGAUUGUGCGGGCCUACUAGACCUGGCGCUCGCUCCAAUUAGGACUUGCUACGGAAACUCAAUUAAGAAAUGACCUUUAACACCGAGAUACAGAAUGGAACUUGAAAACACCUCUAAUUACUGUAUCCGUAGUAGGAGAAGUAUCAAUAGAUGUAUAAGGAGUAGGAACAGACUCAGUGGCUAAAGUUCAAUGGAAAAGGGAAGCAGUGUAUUUCUCUUUACUUAUACCAGAAGCUCGAGAGUGAAAUUGAUAUUCAUGAGUAGCGCCCGUGGAGGGAGUCCCUUGUUUAAAGUCACGUUCGAAAGGAAUCUUCAAGUUCCGUUGAGUGGGGGUAUCUUAUCGAAUAAGUAAGUAUAGAAUCAGAGGCGAAACCAGUAGUAAGAGAAUCCGCAGUGAACUAGGGAAGUCUCCAAAAGAGGAAUCCGUUGUCGUUUUGUCAACAAGAUCAGGAUCCGUUCUCAAGUCAGCAACAGCAAAAGACUCCGCUGUAUCAGUUUCAAGAUCCGAAGCAAGCAGGAUAAGAUCUUUCUUAUGCCCCUUUGACUUUAUUCUUCCCCGAUAACUACACUUUAAACAAAUCAUUCCACUUGCUGCUGCCCUUACUUAUAUUAGGCUUGAUCAAGCAUCUAUCUAAUCUAGCUUACUUACCUAAUUCUAUAUGAUACCUAUAUCUUUCAACAAUAACUCAAAGGUAAUAACCGCUUGCUCCUUAACUCUUACUUGUCUAGCCUGUUUCCUUGUCCUUUUUUAGAGUAAUGUUUCCGGGUUCCAGAAGCAACAGCUAAAGUCAAACAAUCAUUUCUUACUGAAUUCAUUCAUAGAAUCUCAAACAAUCAUUUCUUAUCUUACUACUUCAUAUAAUAAUCUAGGAAAGUAACAGAGCAUUGCCAACUUGAUCUUAUCCUAACGCCGAAGACAGGAAUUGACCUAGAAACUCCCGAAAAUCGGAAUCUUUCUUUUGAGCGGUCAACGUAAACAAAUAAGAAAACCCACUCUCCCUGGCGCCACAGCUUAUGCUUCCGCGGAUGCUUAUGACUAAUAGCCAGUACUCUUUGGAUUCAAGUCGAACAGAACUACUUGUUGCUGACUUUGGCAGAGCUUCCUCUCUCUCUUACAAAGGGAAAAAGUCAAGUCAAACAAAGAAUUCCAAUAAGGCGUAUGAAGCACCACUUACUUAAUCUAUAAGAAAGUCACUGGUCACCUCAACUUCACUUUAAGAACAUUGUCUUUCGUCGACAACACAAGCAUCGAACCUAGCCUGCGCAGGAGCAAGAAGUCAUCAAGUGAAAGGACUGGGCGAUUAAGAACCAACCCCUACCCCUAUGUCUUGUUAAUACAAAUGCGCCCUUAACUACAAGGAAGCCUUAAAUAAGGCCUUUAUGAGUCGUUGAACAGAGGUUUCAUGGAGCUAAUGGCAAAUUACCUAUCUUGUACACUUACAGUAGUUCUAAUGCAUUCAUUAUUUGAUUAUAACCGCGGUAGGAGAGUGAUAUUUCUCUUAGCCCUAUCCUUGCUCAUACUUUCUUUUUACCUUGAGCACUACGUUACGUGGACAUUUUCUUCUCGAGUCUAUUAUUCUUCUGUAUAGUGUAGGGGGCAACAGAUUGUCCUGGUUACCGCUUUGACACCGCUGAUUCCAUGUAGGAUGACAGUCUCACUUCUACACUCGCUUCAGCAGUUUCUCAUUCCAUUCCACAAUUCUAUUCUUCCUUUUGAUAGGCCAUAUAGGGAAAAACAACACUCUUUUGCGUCGCCUAUCCUUUUGAUUCAUAAGCUUCUGUAACGGAACUCGUACUCGUACAUUUGCUUCAAUCAAAUAAUCUUUAUCGGCAGCCCGCCCUUCCUUUGCUUUUUGAAUGAAACUCGAUUGUAGUAGACCGCGCAGUUCUUAGUGUUCUAGAAAGAAUAGGUUUUGUUUAACAAUCCGUUCUCGCACCGGUAAGAUACGAGUGAGAAACCCCUAAAUGAACACUGCUGAUUCUGUUGAAACUGCUUAUGCAUAUGCUGAUGACUUAUAAACUCCUUAACGCAUUUGUUUCUUGCUUAGUUACCUUGUGUUCGAAGCAAGCCCUAGUUAUAGUUCUUUUGCCGACCUCGACUGCUUACUUUAGUCUUACAAGUCCUUUCUUCAGCCGUUUGAUGCUUACUUGCCUUGAAACCUCACAGCUUACUUGCGCCUUUACUUAAUAGCUAUUUCGGAUUAUUCUUAUGUAGAGUUGCAGACUAGGAUGACUUUCUAGUUUAGAGAAGAAGCUUUUUGAGUAUAAAGGAAAGGAAUAGUCUCAAGGUUCGGUUCAGUUCCAGGAAAGUAUCAAGAUGUUGGCGACGAGCCGAGUAGUUCAUCAAAGAAAAGAGAGUGAGAGUUUCCGUUUCGUUCGGAACUUCCAGUGCUUUUCCAGAUUCAAGUCGAGUUCAAGAAGCCCUUCCACUUGUUUGAAUUGAAAUAAAUAAGUAACAUAUGAGAUAAUAAAGUAUUCAAAAGAAAGCUUGACUCAACAAGCAACGUAGAAAGUAUAGCUUGUUCCCCAAAACUCACCUAUUACUGCUUGCUCUGCUCGGACCCUUUCAUAGAGAGAGCAUUGAUGUCGUCCACCCUUGAUUUUCUAUACGAGACUAAGAGCUGUAGUCGGGCCAUUGUGAGGGUAAACUAAUACGGACGUUGCUUGUUCGAACUCAUAACUCUGUUCGUAUACUAGGUGAGCACUUAGGCUUUCGAAACUCCACCUCCACUCAACAACGUACUCAGGCGAAAUCCAAUCUCAAAUAAAUCAAAUGUUCCAUAAUUGAGUAAAACCACUGCAUACAUAAAAUCACUACCGCUAUAGAGUAGUCGAACUCCAAGAAUAUUACUUACAUAAAGAUAAUCUCUCUAGUAUCAUGUACUCUAGUAGAAUGUAUAGAAAUUGGAACCGAACUAGCUACUCCAAUAAGCUGCUUAUGCGCCCUAUCUUCUUAUUCUUUCUGUUCUGCUACCCCCCAUUUGAAUAAAACGAAAUCUCACUGACAACAUCUAUAAGCGCUAUACCAUACUGCGAAACUUCCAUCACCUAUUACAGCUGGCUCUAAAUCAGAGGCACAUCCCCAAUAAUAGAAUGGAGUCAAAACCCUGUUGACAUCUUACAUAGCAAAACCUCACUGCAUGUUUCUGGCGCCGUUCAUCUGUUUAGUGAGUAAAGCAUUAAACAUAAACCAAUGUAGGGGUGGGUAGGGAGAGUGUGAAGUCCCCAAAGUAUUGAGAAUGAAAUCCUUUAUAUAGUAUAGAAAUAAGUCCCCAAGGUAUUGAUAAUGAAAUCCAGAAAGAGAAUGAAAUCCUUUAUAUAGUAUAGAAUAUUCAAGUAAACAAACAGAACAAGAAGAGGAAGAGAAUUGAGGCCUUGUUGGUCCCGAUUAGGAUUGUGAAUUGAGUGAGGCCUUGCUCCAGCGAAUUACUAACAACUAGUGGCUUGUUCCCUGCAACUCUAUGAGAUCUAUGAUCCUCCAAAGGUAUAAGGCCCCUUCCAAUAAUCAGCGGUAGCAAGAUUGGACUGAGGACGGACCGCGUGUCCAACAUUUCUCAAUGGCCAGCUUGAAUAUUGGCAAAAUGUUCCAUAUCUCCAUUCUACCUUGACUUUUGUCUGUCGAGUUACUUCGUUCCUCCUCUGACUUUAUUGAAAUAUAGUGAGUCAAAUAUAAUGUACCCUUGCAUCCAAAUCUGGCACUACAUAACAAGUCAAUAAAAGCAGAAAAUACCGUAUGCAUAUUAAGGUGUGAAAGGAGUCUCUAAAAAGCUUCGUAGCCAUCAUAGCUUAGCGAGACUAAUCGCGCUUGCGAGAGAGCAUCGAGUGGGUUUACUUUAAGCUGCGAGUGCACAAGUGGGUUACUUUAAGCAGCGAGUGGGCUGGUAUUCUUGUAGAUGGGGGAGCCGUACCUUAUAAUCAAAAAGAAGGAUGUUGUGGCGUCAGAUGAUUGAGAAAGCAUCCGAGUAGAGCUUAGUUGUGACACCGGACGAGUUGAUAAAUACACACUGGUUAUGAAGGAACUAGCCGUGAAGGUGGGUGGGUUCCCGAGCAAUCAUCAUACGAAAACGAAAACCGCGUUUGGUGCUUGCGCGCGUGAGAUGAGAUCCAGUAAGCUAUCUAUAUAUAGAGAGAGCCAGCUGGGUAGUUUUGCCUCAUUAGGGAGGAAAGAUGCGCAUGAAGAAGCAAGCGGGAUUAAGCAGAUGCGCUAAGAAUAGAUGAAGCAAAGAUGGAUCCGCGCUUAGGGCUAGGGCUGUUAUUGGUCGAACUCGUCUUCAACGUGUUGAGGCCAUACUAGAAAGAACCACGCCCACACCGCUGUAGCUCUAUGGCUAUAUAGACGCAAUAGGGCACUAAGAAUCCACUUGGAAUUAGUAGUUUCGGUUCAUAUCGGCAGGAAUGAGCCAUUCUGUAGUACGUAGUGGCGAGCUUUCAUUUCCGUUCAGUAAGUAGGGGAACGGCCGUAGUAGCUAGCGAAUCCACGUAGUAGUUGUGUUUUGUGUUCUAUCCAUUCUUUGGGUGUGAAAGAAACCAGAAAUGGAAUUGUAAGUAGCUUCAUAUAUAAUAAGAAAGUAAACAAACUAACAAGCAACGGAACUCGCUAACGUGAGGGGUGCUUAUUUCUAUUUUGCUGUUCUUUCAGAGUUUAGGUCCUAUUACUCUGGAGACUCUUAAGCCAUUGAUGUCUGGAAACCUUAUUGUUGGCUUCUGGUCUUUCUAAAGAAGGCAAGCCUCGUGGUAGUCCCGAGAUUAAGUACUCCCGCAGGCCGAGCCCCCUUCUUCUAUACCGGAAAGCCUCUAACCCUUACCACUGCUUCUUGCUUUUCCAAUCCCUAUUUCUAUUAUAUCUCUAUAUAUAUAUUAUUUCAGAUAGAUUUCUACUUCCUGCCUUUUCCAAUCCCUAUUUUGUCCAUUCUAUUUCUGUAUUAUGAGAGAGGUGAUUGAUAGAUUCUUUCUUUGACCACUGAUAUGCGAAUGAUGCAUAAUUCUUUUCGUUCGCAUCGGAGGAGUUGCAAGCCGAUCUACCUUAUGCUUAUGUCUGGAUAGAGAAUUGGAUUAUGGCUCCGCUUUUCUUGACUAUCCCGCUUUUCAUUACUUUAGCAGGAUAAGAAGCAUUUCGGGAGUCAAUACCUCUCCUCUUCCUAUUCCCGAAGCUAGUAAGAGUAAUAAGGUCCCAACUCAGAGUGUUGUUCUUUUUUAUGAUAUCGAAGCAAUGUCGUAUCCAGCUCCGUUCUAGUAGCGGAAAGAGAGAUCGAGAUGUGAGAUUCCGGGAUGAGUGAAGAACACUAGCAGCUCAGCCGCCCUAACGGAAAAAGGACUUGGAAAAAGUUGCAGCGCCUGACGCUCUUAAUAGCCUAAAGUGAGCUAAAAGCGCUAAAGGAGUUUGGGCUUGCCCUAUGUUUCCAGUUGAUUUCUUAAUUCAAUGCGCUAGCAAGUUCUGUAUUCUGGCCCUAUGAAUAUCUUCUCUUAUUAGAAUGCGCUAGAUCGUACCCAAAGAGCCAAGUAACUACUAAUGACCAACCCACCACUACUAGGCAAAACGGGACCUAAUCAACUUGCCUUAUAAUGCAUUUAUGACUAGAAGAUUUAUGGUCGAAGAAAGGACUUGUACAGGGUUUGAUGCGGGGAAGUGGAGAAUUGCCUGUUCGAGGUAAAGUUUCAAGGAAAGGUGUUGUCGACUCUCAAUCGGGAAUAAGAUAAUAGUACUCGGGCUUGCUUUGAAGGGCAGAAGAAAGUAUAGGCUUAGUUUCUAGGUGUGAGUGAGCGAGAUACUUUUCGUUCCUAUGGUCUACUGCUUUAAGGGGCGAGGGAAAUCGUGAGAGAACAGUCUUCCUUCAUCUGCUGCAAUGAUUCUUUCCUAUGGAUAGAUACCAUCGGUGAACAAAUGAAAUGAUGGAUUUAGCUUAUUGAUUGAGAAUUACCUCUUACAGAUGCACAUAUAAAGGAAGAUAGAUCGCUUAUGUCUAGGUCGCCCCGCUCUCGCUUUGCUCUCCCCUUGACUUCUGUCGUUGGACUACGCGCACAGGAUCGGUUUCAAUAAUGGCUGGAUCAUUCUGCCGCUGAAAGAUCACUUAAUCACACACAAGCAAGAUGAAGUGCUAUUCCACCGGUGAGAAGAGAAGAACUGGUACUUUAUGCGAAUAUUGAAGAAGCGAGAACACACUCGUGAUAAGGGCGGAAUAAGGGUAGCGGUAAGUCUAGACUACUACUUUCAGGGGCCAAAAGCAGGUUCACUCAGGACUACUAUACUACCUUUUGUUUGGGAUUCCACAACUAAUGAAGGGGAGUUCGGUGUCGGAUCGGAGUGGGAAUGGGAAGUAGCUCCCAAGUCCUGUGUUUGGGAGUUAGGUUAGUUGGUAAAGAGAAAAGAUGCUGUUCUAGACUCAACUCGCCCCCCUUCCGGCUUGGCACAGCUGAAAUUCCUUUACUAUAUGAUUUCUUUUCUUUUGCCCACCUCGACUCUUGCAACUAAUACCUCCUCGCCUCUUGCAACUAGCUAAUCUAACCCCUUAACUUUAAGCUCUUGAUGAAGAUACCUCGCAAGUUAAGAUAGUAUGACCUGUGCUCUGAACCAACCCAGUACACUUUCUUUACCACCUCUCCUCUGUAAACUAAUGCCAAACAGGUCACCAACGUAGGUAAGGGCUAAGUAUUUGAUAUAACACUAGCAAACUGACUAUACGGGCCCGAACAGGAUUGAUUGUCUCUCUCGAAGCCAACUACUAGAGCAGCUCUCUCCUCUGUAAACUAUUCAAAGAAUGAGGCUCUGUUACUUGGCCCCUACUAAAUGAUAGAUUCUCUUUAUAUAUGAGAUCUUUAUAUAUGAGAACUUCUUCUAGGAAAAUGGAUAAGUAAGAUCAACUACUAGGUGGGUAAGGCUCGUAAGCUAUGAAAGUCUAGUUAUUGCCCCUGAAAGGAGUAGUCCAAAGAGUAGAGGAAAGUUUACUUCCAGCCUAACUAUUGAACUCAGUAGUCAAAGAACCAAGACACCAAUAUUGGAAGAAAAAACAAUCAAUGAUCAAAACCAGAAAUCAAGAAUAUCAGAAUAAAGAAUUCCACCACAGUAUACACAUAGUAGGGGAAAAUAUAUAUCACUUUAUUAAGGAAACUAGAUUCCACUCAGCGGUGGGUAAGAAUUCUACUCUUAAGUAGGAGCCAAGCAGAUGCAAGCGGUAAGGGAGUUCAUUCAGCAAGUAAGAAGGGCGAGCUACUAUAGAGGAUCCAAUGAAGCAAGUCAGAGUUGCACUCAGUAGUCAAAGCACCCGAAACAAGACUGGAAGUGAAGAAGUUCAGAGCAGAUAUAAUAAGUGGCACAGGAACUAGUUAGAGGCUUUGAAGCGGGAAGAAAAGAAAAGACCCAUACUUAAGGGGGAGCAGCCCUGCCGCGCAACUUACUAUGUUGCUUGGUGGACUUGUUCAUAAGGAGAGGGAACCAUGUUUAUAGCACCGGGUCAACUAGGAGGUCAGUCUUAUUGUUAGGUAUCUUAGUUUAGUUGUUAGUGGUUUCAGUCGAGGUGGGCAAGGUCAGAAACAGAAUCAGGGUAAGGGGAGUCGGAACAAGAUCUGAAGCCGGGUGCUCGAUUUCGUAUGCAAGGAAAGAAAGUCAAUAAUGAGUUCAAAGAGACAGCUCUAAAGUGAAUGGUUAUAGUCUUCAGACCGGGAGUACUGUGGCGUAGUAGUACUGUUGCAUCAGUAGUAGGUAGUAGCCAUAGGAUAGGUAGGCAAGCUAGAACAUCUAUUUCCUCCCCUGGUAAGUACUGUUAGAGUGUUAGUGUAAUCCCGGUAGUCCAGGUAGUACGAGUUGACAGAGGAGACCCCCCUAGCUCCUGUUCGAAAGUGUAGUAGGCCUAUUCGCCAGUGAGAAAGAGAGAAGCAACAGAGAGAAUAGUUAGAAGUUGCCAUAGCUCGUGGAGUCAUAGGUAAUAGUCAGCAUCCCGUAUUGGUUCAACCAGUAAGCAUCUAGUAUUGGUAUGAACUCUAAGGUCUCGAUUCCCCACAUCUAGGUACUCAGUUCAUUCUUUGCCAGUAGUUUAGAGUUGCUAGUUUGAUUCUGAUUAUAUGUAAACUAACCACUCCAGAAAUGAAGUAUGUAGGGUUCAACCUGAAUUCUUCUCCUAGUGAAGUCAACUCUAUUCUCUACCUUUCUUACCUUGAGCAAGUCUAUAAGUAACAAGUACUAUCGGUAUUCAACUCAAACUAACUAACUUGUAAUACUCAUCUAACUCAGGCAAUAGGGUGCUUAAUACUAAGAUAGUAAAUGAAGAGGGGCACUGGUAUCAGGCUUAGAUGCCCUGGGGUUAAGGCUGUUACUGACCGGUUUCAGGCUUAGCCCCUACCUUACACAACUCUAAACUCCCCUCUCUGACAAGGAUAAGAACAAGUAGGAAAUUCCAUAAGCAAUAAGUGGUAUGGUCUGCCCUGUAUUAUAGGAGAAAACGGAAUUAGAAGCUCUCUUAGGUGGACUUCUCCAGCUUCUGUAUCAAAGUAGGAAUUACUGAAUUUCACUAACAACUAGUAAUAAGUCAUUUAAGAAUUCCACAAAUAAGUCACAGAAUUGACCUCCUUCUCGCCAAACUCCCUUUGACAUAGAUGCUUGCCCGGCCUGGCCUCUACUUAGUCAACUCCAUUCUUAUUGUCUGCCUACCUCAACUCAAGCUUUCAUUAUAUAUUAGGCCCGCUCUUGCUUCUGUUGUAACUACUGAUUCUCGGGUUACUCCUGACUCCGCCUUCUCUUGGGAGUCCUGUCUUCAUGGCGGUACAACAGGGCACAGGAAUAGUUGAAAAGACUCUCACUUUAUAUACCGAUCUUUGCUUCACUGGCUUGGGCUUAUACUCCUUACUUCCGUCCUUACUUAUGCGUAUGCGCUUUAGGCUGCUACUGCUUCAUCUAGGUCUACCGCUCCCUGCUGAUAAAGUCAGUCUGUCGUUCCCUUAGCUUGGUCUACCUCUCUUUGUUUUGAGUAUUACUUUCCUUACUAGAAUUCUUUACUUGCAUAUUCAAUCUUUCGGGCAGGAAUCCGACUACUCACCAAUAAGACUUACCCCACUCACCGGGGGAAUACGAAUACUACUAUGGAAUACAGUAACCUAUGGAAAUACUAAUACCACCAAUAAGAGUUGAGCUUGGAACUAAGACUUGCACUAUUGAUCCGGGGAUCCUUACUUAUGAGGUUUAAGACCUUACCCUGUCUUUUAUUCUUUCACUGCAGGAACCAAGGCAGCCCCGUUGUCCACUUCAUUAUUGUAUUGAUAGCGUGAGUAUGCCACUAUAGGAACAUGAUCCGGAUGCCCACUACUGAAAUUGAUAUGUGUUUUUUCAUAUGAUAUUCAAUAGUCGUUUUCGUAUAGUAACUAGGUCGAAAAGGGUGACUUUUUCUUCUCUUUUUGGAGCCAAACAACUUCUCUUUUUCUAUUGGACUGGACGAUAGAGCUCUAGUUCCGGCUUCACUGAAGGAUAGGCGGGCCAGCAAUAUGGGCAAGUAGUUUACCAAGGAUACAAGAUGCCGGGAACCAGUAAUAGAAUAAAAGUAAGUGAAGCAAGAUCCGAGGGUAAUAGGCGAAGGCCGGGAAGGCGAGACAUACAUUCACAUUAUGAGGGCAGCUUUAGCUGCCAGCGAAUCCAAGUAAUUAGUAAAAGACUUUAGUGUGCUAGGGAGGGAAUUCCACUCUUAAGUAAGAUACAUUGGACUGGGAAUUAAUAAUGGAACUAGGACUUCUCAGAACCAGCACCCCAGAAUACAGAAUAUACUUACGCCACUGAUUGAUGAGAAUCGAAACACCCGCCUAGCCUAGCAAGACCAAGAAAGUAGGGUCUAAUUAAGAGUAAGCCUGUUUGACUGCAGCUAUAUUAUAAAAAGCAGUAGAUCAAUUCUCUGUUUCGAGUUAAGGUCUCGCCAGAACCUAGAACUAAAACUACCUGGCAAAGACAACUGCAAUAAAAAACAACAUAUAGUAUAUUUAUGUAGAGUUCUCACUUUAGAUGUGUUCGGCCAGUCAGUAAGUCGCCGUAGAGUAUAAAGGGCCCUUUACUGACUCCAAGGCUACCUUGCCUAUCUAUUACUCUUGGACUUAUUACUUCGAUUCUUCUAACACCAACUAUAGGCCUUCUCCCCUUCCAGUACUUGCAUUAUUUAUUGAUAGCUCUAGUCUGCUACUCCUCUGUCCCAGGCUUGCCUUACUUUAUCUAAGACUUACUUGUUUGACUCUAUUACUUCACUCAAUAAUCAUUGUUAGUCGAGUGGUUGUUUGGCGUUUAGUAGUGACUUUACCUGUCCUCGAUUCGUUAUUUUGUUUCCAAGGCUCUAACCAAUACAACUCGGCCUUAUACCCCAAACGGAGAAGCCAACUACAGCUCAUAGGGCUUUCAACCUCAACUAGGAGCCCUACUACUAAUAUCAGACCGGAGCUACUGGUUCUAAUACAAUAUCUGGGAAUAAAUCAACUUUCAGCAAUACUACUCGGACCUUCCCUAAAAUCUGACUUGCAAACUUCGACUCCGCUCUUGCAUUCUAUGAUUGUAGCUUCAAUCUCCUUUGCGCGGAUUGCUAGGAACUACUGGCCCGGGUAUGACAUGACUUUCUCUUUAUAGAAUAUAUAGGAUUGAACUGGCGCUAACAGGACAAUAACUAGAACCUGGGACCUCCUAGUAAGCAGGAACCAAACAACUAUACCGGAGAAUUUCGCUAAUAAGUAUAGGAUCUAAGUGGAAACAAAGGUGCUACUUAUACUUAAAUGAACAACUGGGGAUCGAACACUGCCUAGCAAGACUCUCACUAUUGCUUUUAGAGUACAACCACUAGCGAUAAGAGUUGCCCCCACUAAUUAGACUCCUUUAUCCUGUUAUGUUGCUAGUACCCUUCAUUCUAUAUUCGUAGCUUCAAACUUCUACUAGUAGCUCUUGACCUGGCAUUCCUUGGUUCUUAUGCUCCUCGGUGAAACCAUUGCUUCCGUGUUUUAGUAUGUAUUACUUCCCUUUCUUUCGUUCUGAAACUCAAUACUUGCAUCCUAUCUCCUAUGUUCGAUUGUCGGCCUACUACCAACUUACUCCUAUCGGAAUCAAACUAGGAAAUCCACUCGGUGAGCUCAACCCGGGCCAAGCAAAUAAUACUAAAUGAACUAAACUCAAAAAGGGGCCAGAAUAUUAAUGACACUACAAACAAGACUCUCGCAGCUGGCUUCCACGAAGAAAUAAAAGAAUACAGAAUUGGCUACUUAUUCCACAUGGCAUAUUUCCUAGAUACAAUACAGAGUAGCGGUAUUUACUUAAGCCUUCCUUUCAGUCCCUUGUGCCCGAGUUGGUGUCUAGCACCUUUCCUAAUAAUAAUGAAUUGGAUCACUGCUCCCUUGUCUAUGUGCCUCACGCUACUUACGGAAAUUAUGUAUUAUCACUUUUGCUCUUCUACUACUAGCUACCAGAUUGAACCGUGCCUAACAGACACCAGUGUGCUCUCUAAGACGACUUUCGCCCCGGCUAAUCAGAACAACGUCAAUUGUCAUAGGGAAUAGGAACAGUUACAACGAGACUUUACUGGCGGAUACAGAAUUCUACUUGUAACUAUAGGGCUGAUACUGCCGAUAGAAAGAUGGAAAAAGGAAAACAGGAAUCCAAUUGACUACUCCGCCAACUCACUCUUACUUUAAUGCCUAUAAGCCUGGCGCGCUACUGACUUCGAAGCUGACCUUAACGAACCAUACCCAUAAACUCCAUUCUGUAUUUCAAGAUUCAGUAUUACAGGACCCCUGGCACACCCUUUGACUAAUGAAUUGGAUUUUUGCUUUCCAACUGCCAACUAAUGGUUUCUCGUUCUUGAGCUACCGGCUUGGAUUCUGUAACUGGAAUACUGGGUAUUGUAUUUCACUAUUACAAAGUAGAACUGAGCUACUACUGAUUAGACUGCUCCACCACUAUAUCAAUGUUUAAACACAUUAUUAUUAAGUCAAUGAAAUAAGGCAUUGAAGAAAUCCAAUAUAGAUUCAAGUAAGUAAGGGAAGGCUAACUGGCAGAAGGGGCAGACGCAGACUCGGAUAAUAUGCAAUAAGUAUGGCAUGUCGGGGGGAGACAUUAAUAAGGCUUGGGCUACUCAGCGCCAUUCUUAGAUUGGUGAAUUGACUUCUGUAAGUCAGGUUUUGUUCCAUAGUAAGUUGAAUCUCUUAGAGCGCUGUUCUACUCUUUGACUACUCGGUUUCAUUAGAACUUUACUACUUGAAAGAGAUAUUCUAUGGUGGAUUUACAACUUUACAGAAAUAGGCAUAGGUGGGCGAGAAAGAGUUCCUACUCUAGUUCUGGUUCGAGUUAUCUUCUUAUAGUGGGUAGUGGAAUUUCUAUUGGGUAGUUUCAUAGUAUUCUUUGCUUGUAUAGUAGUUACUCGUCGUCUUGGUGGUCUUAUUUUGACUAGUUGAAAUACCGGGUUAGAGUUAAAGCUAUUAGGCUACGUUCUUUUACUGCCUUCCUUGAUUCUAAGUUAGAGUUAAGGUCCCAUCCGUACUAGCCAGCAGCUGACGCUGCCCUCUCCUUAUUAAGAGCAUAGUUCUCUAGGCGCCGCCGCUUUGUAAUUCCUUAUUUGAAGACCGGAUCAGCUGUUAAAGAACGAAAGCAAAGAGAUAUGGAUGUCGUGUCCGAGUAGUUGGAAUCAAAGUAAAGGUAGCUAGACUUAAAGCAAGUAAGGAAAGGCUCACUUCUGACCUGAACUAAGUAAUGUUAUGUUAGUCGCAGUUGGAUUCCUGCUUGAUAGAUUCGGUCUUGGAAGUAAGUGCGAAAGCCUGUUAGAGUAGCUUGCCUCUUGUUGUCAGUAGAUUGAUUCCUCAUUAAUAGAGAGAUUACCCACCUAGGAGAGAAGCCUUGUAAGCACUAGUAGAAUUCCCUAUAUGGAGUUAUCGUAGUAUAAGCCUAUGAGCCCGACACCCAUUCUGACCUUCCCUGCCUGAAAUCUAGAACUAUCCAUUUGCAAACUGACAUUGCUUGAUCUUAUUCUGACUAUCCGAUAUCCGAUUCUGACUCGCUAGGUUGAGUAUCCUUCCUGGGCUAUCAACAACAUAAUUGGAAGAAAACCACCACCAACAGGACUUCCGCUCAUACUACUUUGAUUUAUACCUGGGCCAGCAAUACCUCAAUUCUUGACUACUCUCUUAGGAAACCAGUUGUUUGUCUCGUCUUCUCAUUCUUUAGUUAAUGAUCGAUCCGUUUUACUUACUUCAAAGCUAAGCUGGCUUUCCUUUAUUUACUCCGAUACUAGUACCGAUUAGACUUUCGCUAUUGAUCUCAAAGCUUGCUCCACUGGCUAUGUGCCUCCCCUUCCCUUCCCAAACUCUGACUCCUAUGACCUUCAAUACCUGUGUUAGAGCAUCAGCCUGUAGCAACUGCCUAAAAGUCUGGAAGUUAGUCCCUUCCUACUAGCUCCCUAGGCGCUCUGACUUGAACUCCCUUCUUGCUGUACAUGCUUUCAAUCUUAUAUUCCUUUCUCUUGGCCUGUGACUCAUACCUUGUUCUCCGCCUAUGAAGCCUUACCUCAGCUAUUUAUCUACUGAAUCGGAUCCAGCUUAACACUAUCCUUCUGUGCUUCCAUUCCCGGGCUUCCACCUGUCACCUGUCAUUCUUUAUUCACUCAUUAGGGCUUAGACCUAGGCCUGUCCUGUUAUUCCUAUACUAUAUAAAUAAGUAAAAGAGUGAACCUACCUCUCGCCCACCUACGCACCCCUCCCUAUGAAAAGUAGGAAAUACACCUAUACGCCUAUGCCCCACCAACGAAUGAAACAAAGAAGUCAGACACUCCCCACCCACUAACUCGGGCUAACACACCGCUAACCGACUUGAACUAGUGGGCAAGCAACGUACAAUCAACGUACAACUAAGUAAGAGCCAAAACAAGUAACAACUAGUCAAGCACGGAACGAGACCAACCCUACUCUACUAUAUUGCAUUGCGUGUAUCAAGGGUAGAGGUUUGAUAUUCUAAAUCAGAAUGAAAUCAAUUACUUUAGAGUUAAUCCUAUGUGUUUAGCCUGGAAAUGCAUCUAGAAAUGUAUAAGUAGAAGAUCGAAGCGGAAACAUCAGAAGUUCACUCAGAAGUAAGGAUACCUCUGUCUAAGUAGACCAAUAAUAAUAUAGCGUACACAUAAUCAGAAUUGAGGCUUAACUACUUAACUUAGGGCCGAUGUAAUUGAGCCAACACCAAUGAGACUAUAGCCCAGAACUUGUACUUCCCUUACUGCCAUAUAAAGCGGCCCUGCUCCACGCAAGAUAAGGCUAACUGCCCUCACCUUAAAACUGCAUUUCAUCUUCGAUUCUUAUAAUGUAAACAAAACUCUGGUCUAUCAGACUCACUACCUAUUCACUAAGUCUCCCUUUUCUAUAUCUCCUUCUGUUACGGGACCCACCUAGUGCAUCUAACAAUAGAUUAUAGCUCUACCCUUACUUGCUAGAGAACUCAGCUUACUACUAAAGGAAUGACUUCUAUUUAUAAGAGAACAACUUGAAAGUCAUAUUGACUUGACCACCAACAAGACUGACUUUACUAGCGGGUAAAUCCACUGCUGCUAACAGGGCUUUUGUUAACUGCUAUCAGAGUACUACGACUACCAAUACUGGAACUGGAACCGGGAAUCCAACACCCCAGUCUAAUACCUGGAACAAUAAAGAAAGAAAUCCAUUAGUGCUUCUCAGAACGUAGCUACUGCCUAUGAAAGAAAGCCUACUGCCACUAAAGAGCUUGAAGUCCUUGGCCACCUUCUAUGGUUCUUCAACUAACUAAAAACCAAGAAAAGAACAAAGAAAUUGUACUCGGGGAGAUGUAUAGAGACUACUCCAGCCGGUAUAUAGGGCAAUACUCACUACCAAGAGCAAACAAAGCUUUAAAGCAGUAAUAGCUUGCAAGGUAGACAGGAGCUGCAUCGCAGUACACGAGUACAUACACAUUAACGCUCACGGGGGUGUAGAACAAAUGUGCUCCAACCAUCUUGCAGAGGGGGAAGUCGCUCAUACCGAGGGAGAUAGCCUAUCACUCUUAGAAUUCGCCUACGUACCUCUAAUAAGCACCAAACGGAUGAAACUCAACCUAACCUAGCGCUUCUAAGCCAACAACAAGAACAGGAACAGCCAAGGAAAAGAGGUACGCAAGGGAGACAAUUCCAUAUAUGAAGAGCCAGAUCUUGUAACUUCAAUUGACUUAAGGGCUUGACUUGCAACUUCAAUAAGAACAGGAACAGGGGAUUCCACUCCUAAUGAAAGGGAUUCAACUACUCUACUACUAGUUGGUGCUGUCAACCAGUUCAGUCUCUUCUUAUAAUGUAUUCGUUGCUUGGCCUUUUCAACUGAUACUGUCGAUAAACAGACUCGCGAACUACUGCUACCAAGUCUCCCCUCUCCCGCUUCCAAUCUAAUAUUAAUGCUCAUAGGUCUGAUUCCGCUGCUAACAAGACUUCUGCCCGUGUCAACAAAACAAUGCUUGAACUUAUAACCCUUACUGUGUAUCUAAGCCCGUAGCUAAUACCUUUUUUCACUAUGCCUUUCCUGCCUUACAUGCUUUAACUAAUGGUCUAAUUCCCGUAGUUCACCUCUCUUAGCUUAGCCCACCACUCCUAGCUAUCAAACUGAAACUAAGGCCUUACACUCAUUCUUUUAGUGCUUCUUUUCAUUCUGAUUCAGUUAACUUAUAAUAAUGCAAAUAUUAAUUAAUAAUGAGUAAUCUUGCGCCGCUUACUUGUCUAGUGUCUUGGUCCGAACACAUCAGUCACUGACCUAAAGCCUGACUCACCGGGUAGGCAACCUAGAACACCGCUCCGCCUUAGUGUCUUGCUUAUUAGUUUCAAACUAAAGCUGGUACUUCUUAUACUGUAGCUAUUGAUCUAACCAAUACCGGUAAGAAGCACACUCAUAACUAGUAAAUCACUACUACCCAGAUAGCCUUAACUCAAAGACGGCAAUCCAACAACUAUUGAUGAGACUGUAGCUACUGACUACUAGAUAACACUACUAAUAUAUGGAAUGCACGACUACCCACUAGAUCAAACACUGCACUAUGGAAUUUGGAGCUGCUGCUGAUGAGACUUGAACCAAUGCUAAUCAGAACGAAAACACCUGUAAGAAUAGCUAGCCUUCUAAGACAACCUAGUAAGCCCUACCUCCUUUCAGCAAGUAAGGGCAAGCUCAUAAGGCAAUAGAGCAAGGAUAGGGAUCAUAACUACAGAAACAGAACCCAAUUAAUAGUUAUAAGACGAAACAUAGGCUGAAACUCCAAGUAGAGAAUAAAGGUAGUGUAAAAGACAACUACAAUAAAUAACUCCACAUAAUGUACUUAGUACGAGUUUCUUACUUCGGAUGUGGUUAUGGCGGCAGGUAGCGAGUUGGGUCUCGUGCUCCUGUCUUUUGUUCCUUAACGCUGACUGUGGAUCCUCUAUUGAACCUGUUAGUCUGCCUUUGCUUGUGAAAAGUCUUUAGCUACUUACUUGAUUUCUUGUAAUACUGCCUAUGAUCCUUACUAUACUUUGACUUUGAUUCUCUACUUUAUCUUGGGCCCGGCACCCUUGCUUGCUAGUUAAAGAAGCCAACUACUCAUUCGAAUAUGAUAACUCGAACCAGGGGGUAAUAACAACCAAUACUUAGGGGAAUCAUAACAACCAGCACCCAAGGGAAUCCAACUAUGGGCAAACUGACUUGAGCUACUACUUCUAAGAAGAGAUCUGCCCUACCUAGCUAUCAUUCUGACUAUACCUUUGAUCAGCCUACCCUUCCUGACUCUUAUUCUUUACCUAGUGAUCCGGAUCCUUACUCAUUUGGUUUAGAACCCAACUACUACUAAUAAGGGUUGAGCACAGAACAUAGACUUAUAUAAUGUCUAGCGAAUCUUCCUAUUACUGAUAAAAUACCCGAACUUGGUUAAGCAGACUGCCGCUACACAUUACCUGUUAUGUUGAUGCUUAGGUUUAAGUCCUUCACUGCUUAGUUUCAUCUUUGUUACCUCGCCUUUCCGUCUGCGACUACUUGAUCUAAGGCUAACUCCGCCUCUCCUAGCUAUAAAACGGAAAUGACUUAUUUACAUUCCCGCUUGCCCACUACUUUCUUGGGUUCUGUAUUACCUAUUAUUUCACUGCUGACUUAAAAGCUGUCCUUACUCGCUAUAGGUCUCACUGUCCUUGCUUCGAUUCUAUGUAUUCUUCCUGACAUCUCUGCCUGUUAGUUAAAGAAUAUCCACCCUACUAAUACUGAUUUCAAUCAUCGCCAACAAGCCUUUGACUACCACUCACACGAUCCCCGCUUACAUGCCUCUACUCCCUUAGGCUUUCAGCACCCGAACCCACUUCUUUACUUAUAGCUUAAAAGCCUCUCCUCUGUCAACAACUACUGAUGAAACGGGUUCCCUUGCCCACCUCUGUUGGAUUAUACCUUGCAUACCUAGACUCUAAAGUCACUUAGGAUAUCCCUUUGAGCCCUCUCCUCUUUCUCGCCUACCCAUCUAUAUCUGACAUGGCAAAUGAUUCUAUUUCCACUUUACAACUGGACCAGACCACUUACUAAUGCUAAGGUAGGGGCAUACAUACUAUACUAUAUUACUUAUUACAGGCAAGGAAGCACUAACGGUAUGAAGACUCUCAUUGCAGCUGACUUUGGCAAGCCUCGGAUCCUUCUCUUGCAACACCUGAUAGAGAGUCGACAACCUCAACUCACACUGCUGAAGAAUUCUUAGUUGACUCGGCAACUUACAAUAAAUACUCUGUGCUCUCACUUUUAUAAGCAUUACUCAUCCUAUAGCCAAGCAGUAUAUCCUGGGAAGACCUUUGCUUAUGGAGCACUUAUCGUUUUGGCCUUUCUUUGCCUUUGUAGUAGUGACUGCAUUGAUUCUUCAAAUUCUAUAAAUGAUUUCUUAUAUAUUAUAUAAUAGAACAAUAGAACUGAUGAAACUGCUAAUGAGUCUGACCUAGAACUGAUGAAACAGCUAAUGAGGAAUUAACAGUAAAGCCUAACUGCUUCCCUUUCUGACCCAACUAAGACAGAUUCCACUGGCAAGGAAGCACUAAAUAGCCCCGGGGUGAAGACGAAACUAGGGAUGAAACCUACUCCUAGUAAGCGCUAACCUAGGAACUCCGCCUAUAUUCCUUCCCCCCUCUCUCCUUCCAACAAGCCCAGCAGCUGUCAACUAUUGACUGACUGAAUGAGGCCGGCUCCUCUACCGUAGUUAACAAAUACAGAAAUGGACUAGCGGCCCUUUAGCCAUGAAUACAGGACUCAUAGGGGCACCGAACUAUAAAGACAGAAAUCAACCCUGCUUAAUUGACUCAUUGCCCGGACUGCCGCCCGAACAAAGCACUUGGUGUUAACUCUAUUAUUAACUGACUGUUUCUUGUCUGCUUGGCCGGUAUUCCACUGGCAUUAAAGAAUGAAACUUGCUGAUGGCUCCUAUAGCUCGUUAAAGAAUCUAUCUCCUAUAGCUCGUUAAAGAAUCUAUCUCCUAUAGCUCGCUAACUUUCAUUCUCACUUGCGGAAUUCUUAUCCUAUAACUCCGCCCCUAACUCUAAUAAGUGUUCACCCCGACCCGAACGAAACUUUCCACUUACUUUACCUCGAACAGCAUCUUUUCUCUCUCCUAUAGCUCUGGCAACAGGCAAUACUUCUGACUUUGUUAACUACUGACGAGUUUCAUUCUUACUUGAUAACUGGAACUGGGGCAGACCUGCUUGCGCCAUCGGAUCUAGCUUCUAUUCCACCUCUUACCUAUGUCCUUUAGUAGUAGUAGCACUGGUAGCAAUGCCAAUAUUACCCUGCAAACUGGGAAUUCCGCAUCUGUAUUCUGAUACGACUUCUUCAACACCAAAGCUAUCCUUUCUUCACCGACUACACUAGCACCUAACCUAUCUUAUACUGGGCCAAGCAGCCAAGCAACGGCUACUGAUGCUGAUUCUAUUUCUUCCCUUGAUUCUUCUGUCACUCCUAUUGAGAUUUUCCCUUGAUUCUUCUGUCACUCCUAUGCUCUCGAUCGCGUAUAUAGUCCCUUGUUCUUAUUCUUUCUAUGGCAUCUUAUCUUCUCUUUGGAACCCCUGAUUUCAGUAUGAUUGAGGAUCCCCUUCAUUCUCGUAUGUGAUGAAUCCAUAGAUGAUCAAAGGAAAUCCGAUUUCGGCAUGAACCCGCUUACAACUCAUUAUUGAUUGAACCCGCUUACAACUCAUUCGUGAUUGAACCCGCUUACAACUCAUUAUUGAUUUCCCCUGUUAGUCUGCCUCUAACUCUACUUGGUUUCAACCUUGUUGAUUCUUUUCUGACUCUUUCCUAUGCUAUGGUUAAGGCGUUGGUGCACAUUCCACGGUUCUUACUAUUAAUAGGCGUAUUUCUCUUCCAGGGUUUCGAGGUUCGAUCUCACAUUACAUUACACUCACAUUACAUUACAGGUUAUCGAGUAGUUGCUAAGUUCACUUGUCUCUGCUUGUCUGUUCUUUUGAGUUUCUCUUGUUUGAUUACAAUACCCUAGCCCUACCAGAACAAGUAAGUAAACGAAUUCUUCUUUCUGACCUCUACUCCCAGGAUUGGAUACCUUGCGAAGGAUACCCUGGCUAAGAAAUGCACUGAGAAAAGUAUAAGUACGAUCCCCUAAGGCAUCAGAUAAGGUACGAAUGAAACUACUCAUUCAACAUAUUUGUAUAGGACCUACAAACGGAAAGUAAGCCUGCCAUUCCUCACUCUAAAGCUACCGACCUCAGAUCCGUGCCUAUCCGCGCCUUUCUCUCAGCUUUCUUACUGCCCUGGCUUUCAUGUCUCCGUUCCUGCUACUACUGCUUGCAACUCCUAUGUGCGAGUCUUCUUCUCCUUUCUUUCAAGUAGUAAAUACAGAGUGCAACUCAACAGUACAAUAAUGACUCAUAAGUAGGGAAUUUUACCCUAAAGCAAGAAUCCAUCAAGUAAGUCACAGAGCGAAACCCAAUAGUCAAAGAAUAAUGGAACAUAGGAAUGCCGGGCAGGAAAGUCAGCCUCACUGUUUCCAUUAAGACUAGAAGGAAGGAUCGGCAGGUUCACUCUCGAACUGUAGAAUACACGACAUGGUUCUCAUACUUUAAGAGGGAGGCGGCCGGUAUUCUCUUGCUGAUUCUCUUUGUGGGCGUUAUUUAAGUCUUAGAGGUGAUAGUUUUGUUUCCCCUACUAAUGAGUUGAUUUCUCCGACUCAAGAGUGUAUUUCCCCUGCUUGAGCUUAGGUCUUAUACCAAUGGGGAAACUCUGAUGCUUGCUACUCAAACUAUUAGUAUAUAACUAGAUGCGCUAGCUGUACAGUACAGACUUAGGCUUUAUACUUCCGGUAUAUAUAGUUCACUUGUGAGCCUGUGCCCCUCGUAAUUCUUCUUCUCUUCUUGCUAUACCUUAUUUAGCCUGCCUUUCAUUCCUAUACUAUUAAAUAUUCAUCUGAUUCCUAUGCUAAUAAGGAUCACACUACUGCGGAUGAGGCUACUACUACUUAAUUUCAUUCAUACUUAUCAGAAGGAACACCUGGGCCCUAGACCAUACCACCUUGCUAGAUUAGAUCAUAGUCACCUACCCUAUUCUCAGUAUCCAAACUUCAGAGUCACAUUCUUAUGUUCCGUACUCCAUUCUGUAAUUCUGAUUUCUCAUAGAAAAACCAUAUCCUUCAUCUACAUUUAUAGGAUUAACUACGGAUUAACUACAAUAACACAUAGGAUUAACUACCAAUUAUGGAAUUCUUAUUUGCCAUAGAAAAACUAUAUCCUUUAUUGCCUAACACCAAGCUAUGGAUUGCCGCCUGCCACGCAUUUUCCUUCGUAGGAGCAGCAUUUUCUCCAGUCAUUUCACUAAUAGGUGUGAGCAACGGAGAAUUACAAUAAGGGGGGCGGGUUUGCUUCUUUAGUUUGAGCUUCAAACUUCGACUCCAGAUCUAACAUCUAGCUUGUCACUUUCAUUCUCUGUGUUGUUCCCUUCCAUUCUUAGACUUAUUUCUGCAAUGCCUAGUUAUGAGUUAAAGCAUUAGUUCUGAGCUAAGGCCUCGUGCACCUCUCGGAAGCCUUAAGCAGGAGGUUGACUCUACAGAAUUUCCCUCAGUAGUUUAAGAAUGGGACUCAUCGGUGAGCUAGUAGGAGCCUAAGAAUCAAACCGGGGAAUGAAAGAAUGAAGCAGUGUUGUUACGAGAAGAAACAGUGUUGUCUCAAGGAACCGAACCGUAGCAAGCAGGAAGGAAAGUGUAGUGAAGGGAAUGGGGAAUCCAAAUAAAGGGAGACAAUUCCAUGUGAGUUGCAACGAGACCCUUAUUUUGGAAAGGGUGCGCGAGCAGAGCAAGCAAGUGCAAUUCCGGGUCGGUCUUUCAUCAAGUGGAAAGUCUGGAUCAAGAUCUUAAGCGGGAAGAAACUGACCUUAAAGUGGAGUGGAAUCUGUUUGUCUUAGAGAAUGUCCUGUAUUGCCUUCACUUGCUAUCCUUGCUCAAACUAAACGGAUUGCCUUUACUUCUUAUGGGUCGGUGAUUGGCUUUCCCUUGUAAUUGAGUUCAAGUCAAGAAGUGUAUAGAAAAAGACAAUAAGAGUCAAAGAUAGAUUCACUUCAUACAGUUUCUAGUAAAGGGAAGGGAAAGAAUUCAGUAAAGGAUUGGAAGCCCUAAGUCAAUCAGUAAGUGAAUCCCUGACCUCCAGUAAGUUAAUCCGUUGCCCUCAAUCCUGACCUCACAGGUCAUAUUCUUUCUUUCUUACUAUCACAGCUUCAACCAAGAAGGGGGCACUCAAAGUUCUUCCAGAAGCCGGGGGGCAUGUCAGAGGAUGAUUUGCAGGAGCGCACGCUGCUUAGGCAUUGGGUACUUCCGCUUGUGUCGUGUUACUAUACUGUACUGGCUUCGGAUUAUGUUACUAUUGAAGAAGCCCUUUCAGGCCCCGUAGUAGCAACAGAUUGGCGUGCCCAUAAGGACGUAAACUCAGUUCUCCAAAAGUAUGGUUGACUUUUUCAGAUUGACGAUCGGAUCGCCUCCCUUGGUUUGGACUAUACAGCUCCUUUAUGAGUUCCUCACAACUCGGGUCAUAAUUGGGGCGGACUCCUUCUCGGAUGCAAUGCAGUGGUCUUCUCUUUCUAUGGGUUUUCUGCAGUGGAACCUGUCAAGUUAAGUAUUUGAAUUCACAGUGGGACGUUAUCAAUCCAAAGUGGACUUUGGGGUCAAAGCCAAGAGGUGGUGCCCCGUCCGUAGCCUUACGUUCUCUCUCCUUCUUUCUCUCCUGUCUGGUUUUCCGGUAGGGGCGAAUAGCAUUCCCAGAAGUGGACAUUCUCUGUCUUUUCCAUUCUAUCUCUCCCCCAGCCCAGCGACGCAUUUCCCUUACUCCGUUAAUUCAAUAUCUGUCUUUCGCCUGCGAAUCCUUAUCUCUAUCCCUUUGUUGAUGAAUAAAGGAGCACGUGGUGAAUACUGAGAACAUGAAUUCCCUUACGCUGUUGCGAAGCAAUUGGAAUUCUGGAUCAUCGAAGAAUGGAAAAAUGCGCCUAUCUCUAGGAAGACCGUUCAUCAACUCAUUUCUCGGUCUGGUCAUCAAAAGUAGAAUUUGCACUUUGUUGUCACCAGCCGAAUCUCUGAGAAGGAUCACCUGCUCCUGUUCAGCUGCACCUCCCACUAUGAGAAGUCAGAACUUAUAUGCUGUGUCCUCGUAAUUAAUAUGUUAGUUUGCUCGCGGUAAUUGUGGCCUAUCGGGAGAAUCGAUGACGACUUGAAAAACUCCCUUUCCGUUUGUCUAUGUACGCGACCUUUCUUAUAAUAAGAAAGAGACACAAGAAGAGGCAGAGAGAGAGCUCAGAAAAAAGUCAAGGAGAGGUCUUCGGACAUUCAGUCCAAAUCUAGGAAAAGGAGUCAUGUAAUAUGCAAUCAGAGUGCUUACUGCAUUUUCUCCAUGUCUUCGAGCUCUCGGUUUAGUAUGAUUUUCAUCCAAGCAAGCCGCUUUUCUUUGCUUUUCCCGUAAAUUGGAGUCGAGAAAGAAGCUCUAUCCUUACUCAUAAGAUCAGAUUCAAGUUAGAAAGAAGGCCAUCCAUUCAUUUUCAUGGACAAGGCUGGAAAGGAAGUUCCAUUUCUUCUAGUCUUUGUUUAGAAUUGACUUUCUUUUGAGUAGUUGCAACGUGGGAUUGCAGAUAUUGCCAUUGUCUCAGAAGUCGCAUCGCAAUAGUAUAGAAAAGCGCCUAUAGUUCCUAGUGUCACUUCGAAUAUCGACUACUUUACUGAUUCCAUUUCGAAACUCUGAGAAAUAGAUCCUUACCGAUUGCCCCAUUCUCACGUGUUGCUGUUUCUUUGGUUGCCUUCCAUCCCGUAUUGUUUGAAAGGAGUGCUCAAGUUUGUAAGUUAGCUCUACGGACAAGAGCUAGUCACAACAUAAUGAUAGGUGUAAGAUAUUAUUGCUAUUUGAGACAGGCGCUAAAUCGACAGAGUCCCGUUGCUUGGCGUCUGCUUGUUCUAUCCAUUUCUGAAGUUGAUCGAAAGUUGUUGAAAGGUUAUAGUUAUAAGGAAGUCCCUCCCAUCUCUUUUGUCUUAUUACUUUAGAUUAUGAUAUUGAUAGUGUCCUAUAGUGUUUUUAGUGGAAAUAUGCUACCUGAUAAUUACUAUAGUUGUCAAGAAAGAAAGUAUGCUUUAAAGGUGCGCAGCAGCAAACAUUAGAAGGUAUAGAUUUUCUGGUAAUAAGAGUAAUAGAUAGAUGAUUCAAUUCAACUAGCAGGGGAACCAUCAAGCGCAGCGGGAACGGGAAGGAGAGUUUGCCUUUCAAUCUGCAACUACUAUACAAGUUUCUAUUAGUUGUCCAUUCAAUGAUUCUCUUCUUUUUGUUUGUGCCGGUACACUUUCUUAGCGCGCAUUUCUUGAGUAAGGGCACCCAUAUUCUAAGAUGACUUUCAAUCCACAUUAGAUAAGAGAACUUUUCAAUCCAUUAGUUUCAUAAGUAGAAGCUGUGAGGUUCGGUAUAGCCAGCAGUAAUAGGUAUGUAUAGGAUGGGACAUCAUUCAUUAUCUACGUUUUGCACUCAAUUCUUUUCAACAAGCAAGGGAAAGGGCUAUCGUGGACCACAAGCUUUAGCGACCGGACCACUUUAAGGCACCUACAAACAAUAUAGGGCAAGCAAUACUUCACUUUCCGGCUUGAAGCACAGAGAGGCUGGCUUAUUUUGCUCUUCAUCAUUAUAUAGUUAAGAGUAUACUAACAUUUGUUUCCUAAGCUCGGGUCGGGGUGCUAACAUGAGUUUGCUAAGUUCAUAAGUGCUGUUGUUAGUGUGCGAAAGCCUAAUGUGUAAUUGGUUUAGUGGUAUGGCAUAAGAAUCCAAAAUCCAUGAUGAAAGCUAGAGCGCAAAGGUCAAGUUCACAAAAGGAAUAGCUGCUCUCUCCGCUGGGCUGGGCGCUAAGGAAGACCAUCAUCUCGAUUCCGUUCAGGCUGUCAACAACUGUAAACUACUCCCUUCCCAUCAACCACUUUCCUGGAAUUCCCUAUACACUAGCACCCGACCCUACAUCCACUGUUUAUUUGAUUGAUUGAUUUCCCACCGACUUGAGCCUCUGUUCCCGCUUUUUCCGUUUAUGACCUUAGAGUUCCAUUCUGAUUCGAGUCCAGUGCAUCGGCUCCCUACUUAUAAUCUGGAUUCGACUGAGUGAGAGUCCUUUCCGAGAGACGGAACCUCUGCACGAGAUGAGGCUUCUGUAUAUAUGAAAAACUCAAACAACACUUUCUGCUCUAACAGCUUACCUUGAAAGCGAAGGAACAAGUUAACUCGCAACGGCUGCAAAGACGAACAAGCAAAGAGAGGGUAAGACUAUGGAAAUCCUUCUAUGAAGGAAGGCAUUCUGAACGUCUACGUGGAAUAGUCUAGUUGAUGGACAGGACAUCGUGUAUUUAUAGGCUCUAACAAAACGAAUGGUUGCAUGGUGGGAGGUUUCGCAAUGCCUCGCAUCCGUCACUACUUUGAAAUCGCUUUAUCGUUCUAUUGAUUGAGCAUUGGAGGAAAAGGGGAGAAAUCUCUGUAAUAAGAUUCUGUCAAGGACUUAUAAGCAUGAAUCGCACAGAGGUACUCUCAAAGAUCAAUCACUAUACGAUAGAAUUACGAAAAAAGAGGAAAUCAACAUGGAAUUUUGGUCGAAACCCUUGUUUGUACAAGGCUCAUCACAGGAGAUCUAGUACAUCGAGCUACAAACCAUAUAGUAAAAGCGCUCAGACGAGAAAAAACUCAUAGAAUAAUGGAAAACAAUCAGGAGUUCCAGAGGUCGGAACGGCGGCUCAGGUGAGAUGAGACAAAGUCAACUCGGCAUGCAAGCAAACCGAACGUGUCUCGUAUCCAUCAGCCAAACGGGUUACCUGUAAGCGUAGAGUUAUUACCCAGUCCUCAUUCAGUAGCGGUGCGAGUAUAAGUAGUUGGAGGUGAUUCAAAUACAAGUACGCGCGGGAAGGAACUGAAGGUCGACGAGAGAAGAUGUAUCAGCCGUCUCACAGGAUUAGACUCCGUUUCAAUAGAAUCCGCAGUUAUAGUGGGGACCGGGACAGAAUCAUUUCCCUCCUAUGCGCUAAGUACUGAAACGGAAUAAUUAGACAGGUAAAGAUGGAUUAGGGUAACUCACCCACAUAGUGCUCAAGUGUCAUAAUUCCAUAAUGGAGUUUCUGUUCCCUACUAGCAAUUCUAAAAAGAACAACUAUGGGAAUGAUUCAAACGCGGUUAUUCUACGCAAAUCUAAGAUAAUAGACCAAGUUAGAUGGGAAUCGCCUCUACAAAGCUUGUUUUAUUUAUAGAGACUUAGUAAACAAGGAAAGGAUGCGUUGAGGCCCGCGCCCUUGAUACGUAGCUGAUCUUUAGCUAGUUUCUAAUCUUUUGACCCAGCAGUGGUAAACUAAUAUCGGAAGUAUCCUCGGGACGGAUCAAGGUUCUACUUUCAUUGCUUCAAGAAAAACGAAACCAGAUGGGGAACCUUUUAGGACACAUGCGAACAAUCAAACUACGACCGCCACAAAGUCUUCGUAUGCUAUUCCAUUCCUCACCCAACCCAAACGUCCUCAGUAGGGAUCACCAUCCAUGCGCUCUUUGGUGCUACCUUAGAUACAACUGUAUACUCCCAUUGAGCAUUCGAACAGAUGGCAUCUAUGCUAUCAGCCAACAACUAGGAUUCCUGAUUGUCGCCCGCUCCGAGCAAACUAGGGGACAACACGUCCUCGAGACAUAGCCUUACCAGAUGGGCGAGACAUAGCCUUACCAGAUGGGAAGGAAGAAGGGAGCCGCACUAGUACUUUCGGGGCUUACUAAGGGCUUCUUUCUUUCCAGGCGUAACAACAUUUUCAUUGGGGGUCGCACCAUACGCUUUUGACUAAGACCUUUUAUGGAUAAGGACAAGAGGCUCGUUACCAAGCUCGAUGCUUUUAAUAGGAACCACGAGGCCUCAUAUGCUGCCAGAGGUAAGUUAAGGCUCUUCCUUUUUCCCUUUCUCUUUAAAGAAAAAAGAAUCCGAUCCGAUUUGCAAGGAAGUGACACAAGCUCCUUAUUGCCAGUCUUAUGUAUAGGAAAUCAUGGGCCAAGCAGACAAGAUGAAUAAGUGCUGUGCCCUUAAUUAAUGCCAUGGGUUUGAAAGCCCUAAGUGGUACCAGUGGAAUCAGUAUUAGUUUACCUUAUAUUAAGUAACACUAGCGGCAGUAACGAAUAACAGUGUCGUACGAGUGGAAAGGCUUUCAGCACCUUCUCGUAAUUGGCUAGUCUAGUCAAGGGAAACUUACACUCAUGAAGGAGCAGCUAGAAGGAUCAGAGUAUUACUUAUAAGCUUGAGAAGGAUAAGAGUAUGAUGAGGAAGGUGGAAACCAGAGGAUAAGAAUGCAGGUAUCAAACUUCAGACUUAUAUAUCUGCGGAGCUAUAAGACAAGCCGAAAAGAGGAUUGAGCUAUUCAGGUAGAAAACGUAAGAAGAGGAUUGAGCUCUGUUUAUAGAUAUUGGUCGCUAACCCUUAAUACCAGAAGCAUAUUUGGAACUGGUCUAAGCGCAAGGAAUCAUCUCUUCUUCAGCUAACGUACGAGUCUGUCCUUUAUUUCUGUUUCGCCCUUGUAACUGAGUCCGUUGAGUUUCUAUCUUCUGCUAAUGGAGUUAAGUCAUGUGAGUUACUGUCUUCAACAUUUGGUGUUAGCCAGCGCCAAAGUGCCUUAGUGCAUUAGUCAAUGUCAAGAGCAAGUCAACAAGUAUUAUGGAAAAUGACACACUGAAUACUUCCUUUAGGCAAGAAUCAAGUACUUUAGUCUAUGGUUCGUUCGGUUAGGAAGCAACGCUGUGUUGUUUACCCUUGUGCAAGAGAGAUUCCAUGAAUUCUGCUUCUGGGUUUCCUUCAGACUCAACAGUACCAACAAGACUAUGUUUAGUAAGGGAUGGGAAGGGAGUUGGGAGAUGUAGACAGUUCCUGUUCCGUUUCUAGGUCUAUUCCUCAAUUAUAUAACACAUCAGUAAGAAAUGAAUGUUUGACUUCCGCUAAGUAUACAGUACAAACAAUCAAAAGUGGUAGAGUGAGCUUACUUCGGGCUGCCCCUAUUCGUUCUUAAACAAACAAGUCUGGAGUGAGUUUAGUUUCGGGGGGAACAAGCUUAGACUAAAUAAGCGCAGGAGUGAGAGGUGCGAAAGAGAAAGCUAAGCCUUACAUUCAACAAGCAUUAAGGUGUUUGUUAAUAAAUUCAUUAUGGAAUAGGGGUCAAUGAUACACAGAAAAAGAAGCAAGCAGUAGAAAGAAAGUCAGCAAACUUUUCUUCAAGCAAUAAUUCACUGGUACUGGUUUUGGCAAAUUCGCUAAUGCUAGUUAUGGCGCUAACUGAGCUCACCCUUAAGAUACUCGUACUCAGAGCACUUCAGAGGAUAAGGCAAUUAUGAAAGUCAGGCAAUCAGGCUUCAUUCGCUGUCGCCAACAAAGCAUUAAAAGCAUUCCUAAAAAGGAAACAGGUCGUAUUUAUGAGCCAGAGCAGAGGUAUUAAUUCAGCAAGUAAGAAGGAAAGGAGAAAACGUUCCAUUAUUGACUGCCCGACGAGUGGUAAUUGCCUGUUUCUCUGCAGAGUAGCGGUAACUCAACUCCCUUAGCUUACUUGUCUUCUACUAUAUGCGCUAGCAAUUAUGUAUUAUGGCCCUCAGGUUUCUUAGUCAUUAAAGGAAUGCGCUACAUCUAUCUCUUAUCCCUUGCCCACCUAUCCCUUUUGUUAUCUUACAGCGACCUAUCUCUUCGAUCACCUACUUCUUUCUUUAUUCAUAUAUAUUAUGUUCUGUUCUUGCCUCCAUCUCAUCUAACUCAGGCUACAAUUCAUUUCACCCUGCUGGCUCUGCUGGGCUUGUGGAAUUCCCGAAUUGACUAGCUAACCUGCCGUUCCUAUAGCUCGCUACCUCUUUCACUCGCUAUGUCUUUACUUCAGUAUAUACCAUUACUUCAGUCUAUACCUUAUGCUCAAUAAUAAAGUAUUGACUCGGUGUAAGAAAGAUUCCUGUUUGACUCGGCGUCCGGAAAGAAAGCUGUUAGAGCUGUUUCUGUUGAAAGAGAAGAAUGACUAGUUCCCCUUCGACUUGAAUCCGUGGUUGCAACGAUAGAAUCGGCCGUUCAAAAGUCAGUAGCAAUUGGUUCUUCAAGAAGUAUUGUUCCAGCUCGAAUAGAAGAUUUGUAUAUAGUUGCUCGUCGGGCAGGAAAUGGAACUGAUUGUCCGUCCCGCUGAUGCUCUUGAAACUAAAUCACCCUUACCUUUAGCCGACCUCAACACUGAUUUAAUUGCAGAUGAAACUCCAACUGGAAAUCCAUCUACUUCAGUACAAAGAGCUACCUGGGUUGGGUGCUAGUGGUUUAGUAUAUGGAAACCGUUUUCCUUUCCUUGGCUUAUGUGAGGAAUAUAUUACAGGCGUGUGAAGCUAAGGGAAUCAAAUGUAAGUAAUCUAACUAGGGGGAGGCUUUUAAGAAAGAAGUAAUUCACAACGUAUGAAGAAGCAGUGCGAAAGUCAGCAGCAAACGUAUAUGUACUAGAGUCUAAUUCAGUUGCAGUAAACGGGACAAGAAGUCUCCUAUACGGUGGAAGUAGUGCAAUGAAAGUCUUCGAAAUCCGAAUAACUGGAUCAGUAGUUGAAAGAUCUGUUGCCGAAGCCGAAGAUAGAGAGGAAGCAGUGCGAAAGGUCAGGUCAGCUGAUAUUCCAUUCCAUUCUUCCUUUAGAGUGAAAAGACUUAGUGCUAAAGUUCCAUUCACUGUUUUUUCUUUUUAGCCAGAUAGAGCAGGAGCUGGAUCUUGCCCAGUAUAAAGCUAGGCAAUAAAAACGAGAUCUCAAGGAAGGAUUCGAAAUUGCACGAGUCUAGUUAGAAAGGGGAUUUUGCAGAAGGAUGAGUGGGUCAUAUGUGGAGAUGACUUGGCACGCUGUGGCAGAAUCCUAAGAAGUUCCAAUGGAGUGAGAAGUGAAAUGACGCAGUCCUAACUUCAGAAAGUAAGUAGCUACACCAUUCCAUUUGAUGGGGAAUGUUUUUCCUGUCUUGAAAGCUGAAGGAAGUAAAGUAUCUAUCUAGUACUAGUAAACUUCUUUUCUCACGAUGAAGAGUUGCUCAGGACUCGAUGUUCAAAGGACAGAUUCCUUAGGGCGAAGCCUUACUAGUCUCAUUACGUCAGUUCCGGAAUCGGCCAUUCCAUGAUCAUUCUUUCCAUUCCGCGCCCCUACAUGAUCCUUAAAUAGAGAAGGUGACGGUGCAUGAUCCUUAAAUAGAGAAGGUGACGGUGAGAAAGAUCGAAUCCAAGUAAGCUAUUUCGAAUUUGAUCAUCGGCAUGAAAAUAGGCGCUUUCACGACAUGAGAAUCGAACUAAACGUUGUGCUAACGGUUUCGACGUAGGGCUUUUCGAAGAGCGGAAGAAGUAAAGGAGAAAAUGACCGAGACCAAGACCGCCCACGUAGUAAGCCCUUUGCUGGCUUGAAUCCCAACAAGCAACGGGACAAUAAAACAAUAAGGUUGAUUCCACAUAUAGAUAGAUCUUGGUAAACAAACGACUUCUCUUUCUUUUGCUUCAAAGCUAAUGAAUGUAUAAAGAAAGUCAGAGUUACGCUUGUCUAGUGCUAGUGGAUCUAGCUUAAAGGAUGUAAUCUCGCCCAGUGGGAGCCUUCACUAGAAUGCCUAUCUUCUUCAGCUCCCGUUAGCACAACAAUAGAAUCAACAGUAUUAAGUUCGUCAGCUGCCCGCUCACUAACUAGUGCUUCUGUAACGGCUGGCUAAACAUUUCCUGCAUGUUCAAAUCCAAGCAAGUUAUGGAAUUUCCCGCCUAGCUCCUGACCUGAACACGACGGUUCCGUGGCAGAUGGAAGAGAAGAGAGGAGAAACCAACCGUAUUCAAAGGAAAGCAAAACAAGGAACUCUCUAACGUGCAACGUCUUGUUGAGUACAGAGGAGAUGCUACAUAUUCUCUUAUCAUUUCUGCAUUCAGGCGUGUAAGGAAGCAAAGGAAGGGUAGAAACAUGGGCAAAGACGCAAAUGAACAGUGUUGUUCCUUCAUUCUAUUGGUAGUAGCGAGAUAGGAUUCCAUUCCCAAGGGUGGCCAUGUCUUUACAUAGUGGAAUAUUAGGCGCCAUGUCUUUACAUAGUGGAAUAUUAUGGUAUAUAUAAAAGUGUAGAAUAUGAGGGUUCUUAUCACCUGUAGAAUAAAUAGAACUUCAUCUUUCUCAGGUGACCAAUGCCUGAGCCGAAAUCCAAAUGCAUUCUCUGCGGAAGCGAACCCAUCUUUUCUACCACCUGAUUGGUCGACAACUGAACUGCUUCUAAAGCCGCAUUUCGCCAACUAUAAGAGAGAAAGUUACGAGUGGUGUACCACUCAAUCACUACAUGGAAGUCUCACUUUCUCAGCAACCCUAAGAGAGAGGCCGAGCGACAACUAGAUAUAGAGUAUUAUAGUAAAGGAAGGAAGAGCCUCUAUACUGAUGUGCUAUACCACCUGCCCAAUCAUUCUUAAGAAUCGACAGAGAAUAGAAAGCUGCUCAGAAAAACUCUCACAGCAUGCUUUCUUCAUUACUAAUCUGACCUUUGAGAAAGUUGGCUAGUGGUGCAGGCAUGGCAUAGUAGUAGUAGUAGGCCGUUCUCUUUGUUUCUUUCUUCCGGCUUUUGUUCUCUUGCUCAUCAUGCUCUUUUCUUGAUAAUAAUAUCUAUAUAGGGCUAUCAAUCUCGAUCUUUACCCUGUGUAUUCGAACCUUCUCUGAUUGAUCUGAUCAGACGCUUGCACAAGUAAGGUAAGUACUUUGGACAGGUCGCCCUUUGGGCUAUAUUGUACGGAGGCUGUACGGAGGCUAAGUCAAGUGUGCAUUUCAUAGACCAGAAAAUAACCCCUUGGGGUGGCUUUUCGUAAGGUUUUCCCAGACUUCAUGUUCAGGGCGCCAAUUCUACAAAACCAGCAUAAGAGCAAGCAAUAGUUAUAGUGUACAAUGAAAGAGACCGAAGAGCUUUUAAUAAAGUCUGGCUAUUCCCAAAAUACAAGAAAAGAGGAGAGAAGUCGUAUGUCACACACGAGGAUUCACGAAAGAAUGGUUUUCUUAAUCGGAGAGUUGAAAAUAGCGCGGGAAGAGAAGAAUUAAUGGAAUAUGCCCCGAGAUAGGGAGUGGUGGGAAUGAUUCUAUUUCUAUGAUGGAAGAGAAGAAUCCACCGUCCAGCCACACACACUAAUUAGGAAAUUCAUCUAAAUAGUGAAGUAGACUUUCUCAGGAUAUGAAACCAAAUAGAUAUAUGAAGAGAUUGUAUCAUGAUCUAUAUGAUUCGACCGACCUCUUUAAAAGACCUCUUGCUUUUAUUUGCAUUGGGCUCUUUGAUUAACCGAUAGAAAAGCGAGUUUACCCACCCCAUUUAAUUAACAGGAAGAGAACUGCUUGCUCGGAUUCAUAUCUUAACAGGAAGAUAACAGCUCGGAUUCAUAUAUUGUAUUCAAGACAAUACCAAUUCAUAGAAAAGGGGGCUUAUCUUUACGUGGGUCUGCAGCCUUGGGGGCCUAGAUCUGCCUAAGUUAGAUGGAGCCCCAAGAAUUCCAUAUUAUACCUUAUACACCAGAAAGUGAAUAGGACGAAAAGCGAAAAGGGAUGAAUUUGAGGUACUUCAACUCCCCUAGCAUUGAAUAGACUGGGUAUUCAGAAAACCUUCUCCAUAAUAAAAGCGAGAAACUCACAAGAUGAAGGGCAAUAAUCAAAGCGGAAAAAGAACUUACCUGAGAAAGGGCUCGGAGGGGAAGUAGAUAAGCCAGACGUCUCAGUGGAUACCGCCCGCCAGAUAUUACAGCAACGAAUAAGUGUAUGCUUGAGAAGGCGUCUACUCCCGAUAAUAAAUAGAAGUUGGUUGCCUUAGUUCCCUUACCGUCAUAGUCACAUUUCAGACGGGGGAAUCCAAGAAGCUGCCAAGCUUGUGAGCGAGUCCGCUUGAGUCUGAACCUCUAUCCGGACUUAGAAGAAAUUCACCCGCUCCAGGGAAUUGAGACAUGUUGUAGUCUGCCCUAUAGGGUCGGAUACUGACUUUUCUCACCACACAUAUUCUACUCGGAGGCAUUUUAUGAGCAGAUUUUCUUUUAUGAGCACCAUAGAUAGUAAUCAUUUUAUGAGCACCGUCUAUUGUCAGUUAUUCAAUUGAUAUCUUUAGAACUCACUCCAGUUCUGUGAUCACGGACUCGUAUUUGUCCUCGGUUAUUUGAAUUGGAGCAUUCCUAUGUUCAAGCGGGUAUAAUAGCUUUGCCCGGUUCAGUCAAACUAACACUAUAAAGAUCCUGUCUUUCUUCGUAUCGGACUGCUCCGUUCGCGUUCCUUGAUUUAGCAUCAACCUUCCUUUCAGGACCUAGAUUGGAAUUACUUCUUCGUCUGCGCCAAGCGGAUAAUUCUCUGGAAAAUAGGGUGCCCUUCCGGCAAGAUAGAAGUGAAUGCCUUUCCUUUGCCUUAAACAUAAGGGCGUUCAACAAGGUAUUCGAGAUCAACUCGGAUUGUCAUCCUUCCCUUGUUUUGCGAUCCGGACGAAUAGAGCAAGACAUAAUGGACUUUAGGUUGGUCUACCCUGGAGAUCCACUUUUCUCUGUGCUCUAAGAGAUAAUGCCUAAGCUUCUCUUUUCGUUGGCGAAGAUCAAAGCGAAACAUAUUUUCUUUCUAAGGGGAAGAUGAUAGCUAAACUUCUAUUUCUAAGGGGAAGAUGAUAGCUAACCAUUGUCCUUCUAUCUUCCGCGGACCUUUCAUUCUGCUCAAACUAUAGGGUACGACUUAAGUUGUAUAGUGCGCUCUCCUUCCCUUGUUCAUUGCGCUGGGCGCGGAGGAGUACCCAAGGAACCAACCUUCUAAGGCCAUGAGAGAUAGUUAAGAGCAGUGGCUUGCUUUUUCGGUACUGAAAGAAUGUCGUCUGUCUGUUAGGAAAGAGAAACUAGAAUCAAUCUGGGGACUUUCAUAAGAUAUGCUUUUUGAUGCUGUCGAAAGCAUUCUGGCAUGCUCCCUUUUCAAAGAAAAAGAAGAGAUCCGUCCUUUCCCCCACCUAUUAGAGAAUGGCUGAGACCCUCCCUUCCUGCGAGGUUGGAUAGAAACCCUCAGAUAUACGCAACUUUCACCUGUAGGCUUUUGACUCUCGGAUCUUUCUUCAGAGGGUUAUGAUUAUAGUUUGGUCGAUUUCUAUUCUCCGUAGUCUAACUAGAAAGGAAGGGGAAUUGCAUUUGCCCUAUGUACCCGCUGCUAUAUGAUGAAAAAGGCUAUUCCUCCGUCGAUCAAAGAUCUUCUGCAUCAGCCCUAUGUUUUGACCACGAGAUCAUCGACCAUAGACUGGAAAUAUUGUUCCAGAGGUUUCCUAAUAUGAGAGUCAUGGCCCCACCCCAACGGAAUGAGAGAGUCCUAAGGGCAUUACGUAGUUGCAAGAAAGUGCUUUUGGUGUCCUGAAGUAUGCUAUGAGACCACGCCGAACUCGCAAACCUAACUGUAACUACUUGAAGCUCACGGUUGCUUAUUCCCCGAAACUUCUAUUACUUCAGUUAUAAUUCAAUCCUGUUAACUCAUCUUAUGUGGAAUCUUUAUCAUUGAUACAACUAAGAAUUCUAUAUUUGCCAUUAGCAGAGUAGAUCCUAUGUUCAACUUAAAGAAAGAAGCCUAUUAUGUUUCCCGGGGGAUUUGUUUGAUGAAACAAGCUUAGGCCUACUUUAGAGCACUUAGGUUGGUGAGAUAUAGUUGUUUUCUGCCUGUGGAGUCUCAUUCUUAGAUACGGAGGAGCAGUACCCUUCCUUAUUGAAUAGAAUUUUAGUACCACAUAUAAGAAUAGAAUUGAGGAGCACUAGGGUAGGUGAGUUACCCGCUGCCAGCUAGCAUACCUAGUUUCUUAGGACUUGAGUUCGACUUGCCUAGUGUCUUGUCAGCUUGGCCCCGCUUAGCUUUAGGGUUCAGCUACCUAUUUCUGUGGUUACCUAUCGAUUUAUUAUGCUCUACCAGUCCUUAGGAGAGACUUAGAGGUGAGGCAAUAAGGCUUGGUUGGGAAGGCUAACGAGUCAGGCUUUGACUACAGCCCCCGACAGUUCAUUAUGAGUAUUGUGACUUUGAUUCUUCCUCGUAUAAGUGGAUUUCUGACUUCUUAGUUUGAUUCGCUGAGGAAGCCGCUUAUGAGUUGGAUUCACUUAGAAGAGAAAUAAGUCUGAUAUUGGCAAUAAGUAAUGAGGUCGGAUAGAGGAAAUGAGAAAUCUCGGAAUUAUAGGUAUAGCUCUGGAAGGUAAGUUGGUAUUGGUAGUCUCACCCAUGUGUUACGCGCCAAGGAACGGAUAGACAAGUCCUUUCAUUACUUUCCUACGAGGCACAAGUCAGAAUACCAGCUCACAAGAUCUAUAAUUUCUAGUGGGUUAUCAGAAGAAGUAAAGUAGUCUACUUCCGUCCAAGUUGCCCCGGCUUCUUCAGUUGUUCCUACUGCAGCUCUUGCUUCUUUUGUAACACCAGAUUGAGAGGGAGAGGCUUGAAGACCAGACUUAGACCUAUACAAAGCCCAAGGAAGGCGGUAAGCAGCAAUCUAGGAGGGUCCUGUUUCUUUAGUUGACAGAGCAGGAGUGGUUAGUUGAUUUCACACUUUUACAAUUGAUAAACACAAGCCCAGCUACAUCCUUAUUAUAUGGCUAAAGUGAGUUUUCCCCCUUAUUAUAUGGGGUCAGUUAGUUUUACCUAUGAGUUUUACCUAUCUUGGAGACUUUACAAGCACUGCUUCAUCAAACGGAAUUGAAUAAAAGAGUUUUGUUCAUCUAUUUAUGAUAUGCUAUCUUACUUUAGCCAGACUUCCUGCAUUACGUGAGUAGGCGACAAGAACGAAGCGAAUAACUUAUCUCUUUAUCUUUCUUUAAGAGUUAAGGACGGAUACAGGCUCUUUAGGCCUGAUAGUAGUUCCCGCUCUUUCAUUCUGAUAUUUACUUGUUGCAUUCUGUUACUCGACUUGUAGAACCUCCCUCUCGCCCACUAAAGGGUAUGCGCGCAUCUAGUAUAAGGCAGAAAUGGGUAUGCAUCUAGCGAAUCUAGUAUCACACUUAGAAAGGCUUGUUCUUUUGCUUGUUGAAUCUAUAAGAUCAGAAACAGCAGUGAAAGUUAAGGCGAGAAAGAAUCCGCAAAUGCGGGAUCAUCUGAAGGAGUAGUUUCAAGUUGAAGCCCUGCCCUGCCCUAUUUGCCCCUACUUCUAAAGCGAGGUUAAAUAGAGUUCUAUAAGCCGAACGAAUCUCCUAUUUAGCCAGCUUGUCCCGCUGUAGCUCCUUCCCUUGUUUACGAGAGAGAUCAUACUUCCUGUUAAGAGCGAGAUCCUACUUCCUGUUUAAGAGGUUGCUUGCCUAGUUACUUUCCUAGACACGGGUACUAUCUAGCGCAUUAGUAGUAGUUGCCGAACACAGGACUUGCUCAUAGCAACGUAUUAACAAACAUACUAUGUGAGUUUCCUUUUCUCCUUGCUUUUGGCUCCUUGUCUUUCUGUGUCUUUGUAUUAGAUCUGCCUUAGAGUAGGAGCGGGAUCGGGUACUAUUGCGGGGUUCCGCCUCUACUUUCUUUCUUUCUUUCUUUAUAAUAAAUAACUGCAUCUCUUCUGUCCUUCUAAAUUCGAUCUUCAAAUUAUGUUGCUUGGCCAUAAGUAGUAGCUUGUCCUGGAAUAACUCAUAGGGACUCUGGAAUAACUCAUUAUAUAACAUAUUUUAUGGAGCUCCCGAAAACAGAGGACUUAUUUCCGUUUAUUCUGUCUUAGUAGUGUCGGUUCUUUAAGUGGAUAGUUUGGGUCUUCAAGGAAAGUGAAAGUUGUUGACGACGAGCGGUGCGGUUCAUCAAGUUCAGUAGAGGCCGGGGAAAGAGCACCACUACACUCAAUGUAAGAUACCGGUCAACUCAUUUUAUGUGGAAUCGAAUUCGGCUCUUUUCACUCUUUAGAACAAGCAAUAGAGUUUCGAGAACAAGCAACGGAAUGAAGCAAGGGUUCAGAUGCCUACAUUGGUGAUUAAAAGCAUUGGUGAUGAAAAGGCUCUCGCAAGGGAAGUGCUACUACUAAUCCAAAUUCCCUUGAAUCUCGAAACAAGCAAAUACUCCUAGCUGAAGGAUCCCUUUAAAUAAUCUGUAAAUAAGCAAGAACAAGUAACGAUUGCGCCUAUCUUCUAUUCAACAGGAAAGGGUGCCUACUUAUUUGUAUAGGGCCUUCCUUAUAGUCUAGCAUGAGGAUGCCGCCUAGCUGAGUUCAACAAGUUGAGUGCCCCGACUAGCUGAGUUCAACAAGUCAGGAGUAAGCAGUAAAGUAAUAGGUGGUUUAUUACUGAAUGACAUAAUAGGAGAGAUAACAUACAUGUAAAUAUAAGCAAGGGCGAAAGCAAGUGGUAGAUAAAAAGCAAGCAAGGGCGACAGAGGGAAUAAUUGAGUCCGAAUACGGGACAAAGCUUCAAGCAGUUUAUUGACUCCAUUCUAUACUACUAUACUUCAAUUAUGAAAUAUACUAGGUUUCAAUUAUGAAAUCUACUUCGGUAUACUCGGGCUGUCUCAAUUCUAUUCCUUUUUGCACUAAAUAAAACAAGCCAAAGAAAGUGCUAAGGCUUAUUCUCAGGGUGCGGAGUGCGUUAGUGAAGCCUUUGUUUCGAGUGUUGUUACUAAUUGGAAUACAUUUGUUUGUCACGCUCAAUUCGAUUCUUUUGCAUUAAUUCCAUUCUUUCGAUAAGAGAUGAUCUUCUCGCCUAUCUAGCUAAGCAUUUGGAUAGUUGUUGCUUGGCCAUGUUUAUUACAAGUAAGAAAAUACAGAGUUAGGCAAUAGCAGCUUCUGGCUUUUGAUGAAUCCUCUUUUUCGGGGUCGAUCAACCCUAGAGGACUCGAUGGCUUAACUGCCCUGUAAACCUGAUUCAGAGAGAUAACCCGGUUUUUAGACACUCGCCCUACUUGACUUCUAAAGAUAGAUAGAAAAGAGUGAAAGAUGCGGACGCAGUUCCAGUCACAGCUGCUGAGGUGGCGUAGUUACAGGCGGGAGCAAUAACCAAAUCAACUGCUCCAGAUCAGAUCCUUCAUAUUCGGUUGGUUGUUUGCGGUGGAAUAGAUUAUAAGCGUCCGGGCCAGUAGAUCCAGAGCAAAUAGGCGUUCGUUUACUUAGUGGCUUUGCUGUUUAUUCGAAUCCCGAUGUUGAUCCGACGCAACUUACCGGUUAUAGUCGCAGCACCAGGAGCUUUCAAGGGAGGAAGACAUAUAUAAAUAGUAGCUUAUAGUAGCAUACCUUCCGGAUCGAGGGUCCCACCCGGUAAACACCAUACAGGCGAAAUACUUGCGGUGGGUGGAGGAGGCCUUAUUGCACCUAGCCUAAGUAACUGAAACAAGGGAUGAAACUGUAACAGGAACUGCUUUAUCUACUUAAGUUCACCUCGCUGAAGCAGUUGAUCAUGAAAUUCUAAAUGAUGUAUUUCGAGCACAUGGCAUAGAAUUCUUUACGGAUACCCCAGCUUCCCUUUCUUUUGAAUCAGAUACUGAUCUAUCCUCUGCUUAAUAUCCUAAUCCUUCGACUUCUUGAGAUCAGGCCUAUGAAGAGCUAUAGGGCAAAUAUGAGAGUAUCAAAUGCAUUUCCAGAGAAGAAACAUCGCUCCCGAAUAAGCAGUUCUCAAGUAAUGCUUCCUCGCCUGAUCUUGCAGACAAUGCCAUUAACUUUAAGGGCGGAUGAUUCUGAUUACCCAGUUUUCUUCUAUACUCAACAUGAAGUUCAGCUGACCCCAACACAGCACCUCCGCAGUAGAAUCAACUUCUCCUUUAAACUUUACCGACGGAGAUGAUCUUCUCUCUUUAUAUUAUCUCUUAUAUUAGGAUAACGUUGACUCGCCCCCGCCAAGUAACUUAUAAUGACCAAGACACUAGCAAUAAGGUGGCUUUUUCCGAGUUUUCGUAUAGAUAGUAGAAAGUAUUCUAUCGCUCGCAUGGAAGAGAGCUGCUUCUUUUCUAGCUUAUGCAGCAAGUACAGUAUAUUAAUAGGGCUUUCUCCCUUUGCCCAACCCGCCAAGCAGAACAGUAGGAGUGAGUUCAAAAAGAGACUAUACUAGGUGAGCAACAGUCGGACUAGCUAUAAGAGAGGAAGAAGGGAAAGUAUUGCUUGUUUGAAAGUAUGGUUAUUACCGAUAUGCCCGAUAUGAGUCACAGCAGUAGGAUGAAACAAGGUAUUCAAUAAUAAAGUCAGUAUCUGCAGAAGCCACAGGUAGAUCAGCAACUACAAGUCAGCCAAGCAGACAAGACACUAUUAGCCAAGUAACAACUACAUUCCUCCCCCUGCAAACACAGGUCAAGAUAUAUUUCAACAUUGGAAAGAUAGGUGUGUGUUGAGGUCUUCGCGAGUGGUAAGUGAAGUUCUCUUUUUGGUUAUGGUAGUCUGAUUGAAGCGUUUUUUGCAAGCUUUGUAUAGCACAGGACUGUGACAAGGGUUCUUUGGAAUGAAUUCUCUUUUUAGUGCCAGCCAUCUUUAGCCAUUAGGAAUUCCCUUACAACCUUUUACUGUUUUCAAAGCGAGUUCUGCCCAUGCGCCAUAUCUGCUUCAUCUCGCAAUAAAAAGAUCGGCUUGAUUCCUUAUAUUCAUUGUGCAAAUACAUCUGGUGAGCAAGCCAGUUAGACUUUAUCUCCUUGAAUCAAAGCCUUGAAAGCAUCAAUGGGAAAGAACACGCUGUUUGAGAGUUGUUUGGCAUGUCGGUUUAUGCCUUCUCUAUUCAUUGGAGGGUUCACUUUUGGUUCCAUCUUCGAGCGAGUGAAAGCUUUUGAUAAAGUCCUGUGAGUAUGAGCGGUUUCUUUAUUUACUGAGCUCGCAUCUCGGCAUUCUUCUCUCGUUGACUUUGGCCAAGAACCUAUCUCUCUAUACAAAGAGCUACAGCACCGACACAAUCUGUUAACGCAUAUAUCAUAUAUAGAAGUCUGGCUUGGACCACGACUCGGGCAAGGGUAAAGGAAUAGCUGCUCUGCUAUGGGCAAGAAAGUCAAGAGUGAGUUUCGGAGUGUUGUACCCUAUAGACAGAGGCUGAGUGGUUUGUUCGGUAAGCACAAUAAAUCCGGAAUAUUGGAUAGUGCACCACCUAUGAGAGGUUCAGUCUCGACUUGACUUUCACUUUCCAACAGGAUCUUUGACUCUAACAGCUGCCGAGUAAGAUUAGCUGACUAGCGAACAGGAACAAAACUCUACAACUUUGAGCGGGCAACUUACUUGUUCACCGACACAAUUACCGAACCGCUUAGACAAUAAAAGCACUUCCAUCGUAGACAACGAAAUCACCUCUAUCUACCGACGUUAAGUCAAUAACAGAACAAUACUUUCUGCUUGCAGUUGACUUUGCUUUGGCACAGCUGAUUCAUUCUCUGGUCGACCACACCUCGAAUCAAAGCCUUUACCUAUACCAGUGAAAAAGCAGCUCGAAAGCAAGUAUCAAGUUUCGUUUAAGUUGGAAGAGCAGGAUCCGGCUUUGAAGUUCGGUCUAGCUCCUCGUAAAGAAUACGAGUCACUGUUUCUGUUCGAGUAUAGAGAACAAACAAUCUGAUCUGAAUGACGAAAUUCCUUUCUUGCAAUUGACAAGGUGCUGAAAGCCUUUCUUGCAAUUGAGUCCAGUCCGGGCACAGGCCAAAACACACUCCCGUAAGCGCGCCCCAAGCAAGAGAGUUAGGAGGUAGGUAGAAAGUGUUGUAUCCUGUUUAAAGUACUGCUCUUAAAGCAAAGGGACUACCCAGAUACAAAGAUUCCAUUCAUUCUUUAGCUUAUAGUUGAGUUAGCCAUUGCGCAAGGGAACCUAAAAGCUCCGUUCGAAAGGACAGGUAAACUACAAGUAGCAGAAGCCUCAGCAGGACAAUCAGUUUCCUCUUAUACAGAAGCCUCAUCUCCUGAAGCAGAAGAAAGAUCGGAAGAAUUAGAUCUUUCCUAAGAAGAAGAUGCUUUAGCAGGAUAUUGACUAUUUUAUAUGCCAAGUGAAAUCAAGUAAGAAUCAUCCAAUCCUGUUGAAAGUCCGACAAGCUACGAGUCUUCGCCAUUCGUAUGAAAGUGGAGAGUAAGGAGCAAGUAAAGUAUUAGCACUCUCGCAAACCUAGCACUAGAAACUAGAAAGUCAGAAUUGCACUCAAAGCAAAGAGACAACUACUCUACUACUAGGGACACAGGGCACUCUCAGAACUCCUAUAAGCUAUAAGCAGCCUGGGCAAUCAGAGGGUCACUUCGCUCUCCACUCAAUGAAAACUGGACCUGGGCUCUAAUCUACCUCUGUAAACUACUACAGUUAUUGCUCUGGACUACUAUACUAUUGCUAGAGAAAGAAGUGUUCUUCAGCCAACACCGAGCUCACCCCCGGCUCAUCUAACUCAAUUGGUUUGAUACCUUAAUUAGGCUAGGCUCAUCUCACUUCCUUCUGUUCUUGCUUCAUAAGGCUCUUGCUACUGCCAAUCUCUCUCCUCUGUGUUGCAUUCAAAGACUCCUUAGGUCACUUCUUUCACUGCCUUGGUUCAGUCUGGUUGUUGGGUUGGGUGUUUAGGUCUUACUGGCAGUGGUUUCAUUCUCGCUACCCUGGCUUUAUUCUGAGUAGCAUGGGUUUGGUUCCGAUACUACUUAGUUGGAUUCUAUGUAUCAGAUUUCUGGUCAUAGGGAAUAGGAUUGGGAAUAUCAGUUUCAUUCUUUGAUUCACUGGUUCAACUCUACCCCUUACUAGCUCCCGAACACAGUUUAAGCUUCCUCCGCGACAGCGAGCGCAUAACUCGGAAUGCGAUUACUAACUAGGAGAUUCAAUUACAAACUACCGGAUCUAACUACUACUACUAUAAGAAUUGCGCUACUGCUUCUCAGAUCGGAACUCAGGUCAAAAUCACUGCUAGCAAUACUGUAACUACUACUUCGAAUACAACAACCAGUGCUAGCAGGAGUUGAACCACGACUAAGCAGAAGCAACCUAGGAAUAAAGAAAAGAAGAACUAACCCCCUAACAACAACCCACAUAAAAGAGAAACGCUAUCUAUAUUACUUCAACUGGUCACUCAGAUCCGUAUCCUUACUCGCUUGAAGCUGAACCUACCGCAGAGCAGAGCGCCUUACUGCCGGGGAAGGCGCGCAAUGAAAAAGGAUUCUUACUUAUAUCUCGCAUUAGUCGAUUCAGUAUUGAGUUUUCCUAUAUUAGAAACAAUUACCACUAACAAUAAGAGUGGAGCAAGCAACUGGGGAUGAAAACGAAUAAUAAGGGAUUGGACUACCGACUUCACCCGAAACCGCUGAUAGUAAGAAAUGCACUGGAAUACACUGUAUCAAACAACUACCAAGAAUACAUUAUUCAGUAGCUUUGCAUCCGACCGCCUUACUGUCUCCGAGCCUUACUCACAUCGUUCUUCCCUCACAACUACGACUUGACUACUGCCUUCUAUUACUUUUACUUGAAACCCGUAAUUGUGAACUGGUGCUAAUGAGAAUCCUACAACUACUGAUAAUAAUGAAAACAGAGCUAGAGAACUUAACGGGCUUACCCUACUGUCUAUUAGCCCUUACUUUACCGGCUAUUGGUCUUUACUUGCUUAUUCCAUCUUCCAGGCAGAGAUCGAACUACAGCUUAGGGGACUUCACCCACAAAUAAAGCCUGCCCUUACUACACUCCUAUUAUGACUUUCCUGGCUAUCCGCCUAUAACCUUAACACCUAAUACUCCUGACUUAAAGUGCUUAUUUAGCCCUUUCACUCUUAUUAAUUAGGGUAGGGACCUUUUCUUUCAGCCUAUAGCUCUUUGCUUUGCUUUGCUUCGAUUCUAAGACCACUGAUCCGGUCAAUGUCAACGAUACUUGUAACUAGAAACUAGUAACCGAGCUACUACUAUUAGAGAAUUGACUAGUGCCCAACAGGGCUAAGCCCAGCCCACCAAUACAAAGAAUCAAAAAGGAAAUAGGACUUUCGUUUCGCUACUGAACUAAAAGCUACCUUUCCUGUCUCCUAACCUGCUCUACUUGCGAAAAAUCCUAUAUUAAGGCCAACAAGCCCUUAGCUCAUUAAGUAAAAGAACUCUAUAUAUGGCAAAAAGGCAGCCUCAUUGGCACUAGUGAAAGUAUGAGUUCGAUCCUAAGGUAUUAGAAGUAGUAGGCGCAUCUCUUGUUUUGAGUUAGAGUCUAAUCAGCAGUGCCCUUUUCCCUACUCCUAUCUCUUAAUGCGCUAGAUCGUAUCCUGAGUUUGACUUAUCAGCAGUAUUCUGAAAGUACCUAUUCGAUUCUCUUGUUAUCAGUAGCGUUCCCUGGAGCACUAGCUCUCUUUAUUCAUGCCUUAUUCUUUCUAUUAGUGGGUGUUUCCUCUAUGGGUAGGUUUCUUCUUAGUAGUUUAGAGGUUAAAGGAUCCGGACCAGGAGUUACAGAAUUCCAGUCAAUAGCGUUAGGUUGAAAGACAAGAGAGGCAAGGCCGCUACACUCUUUGGCGCGGUAGUGUAGCUCUACUCGGCAUACGGAGCAAGCCUUACACCACGCCUCCAAGGACAAAAGCCUUAUUAUGCAUUAUGCGCCCCUCACCAAUAGUCCAAAACCCUUUCUCUUAGCCUAAGUCUAUGCCCCCUACUUUUAUACCCGGCUCUCCGCUUUUUGCUUUCAAACUUGAUCUCUGCUUUCAUAAGCAAUGAGGGUUGAGCAAGUUAUGUAUUCUCCUACUUGAAUUACUAUACGAAAACACAUGCUUAGUAUUAUAUAUCAUAUGAGAGAAAUAAAACACAUUCUACUAUAACUAUUAAGAGAAUAGAUAGUCCAGAUCCGCAGUUACAGAAAGAAAGAAGCCACACGUAAGACAUAUUAACUAACUAACAAACCAGGCUAAAAGCAAGGAAAGUAGGCCUCCCCCAAGAGAGCAGACUUGAGUCAGUAGCAAAAGGUUUGUUGUCACCAGCUCCAUUAUGCUUAUUGGUAGUUGGAAAAUGAUAUAACAGAAAGGUAGGCUUAAAAGCACCCGUUAAGGAAUAGGCUUUCAGCACCUGUUUUUGGCUCCUGUUAUGAGCAAGUCGUCCUGUGCUCAAGUAAAGAGCUAAUAGAAUAUGGUUUAAUGAGUUAUAAUACAUUUAUUCAUUGCUAUGGUUUUGUAGUAGUUACUUGGCCGGUAUUUUUCAUAGCAAUAUGUACUAGUCCUUCUUAUUCUUCUGGCUAUGGCUCAUCUACCUAUAGUAACGUAACGAUGAGACUUACCCCGCUAACUAGGUAUUCAACCACUGCUAACGGGGCCGCUCCCGGGCAUGUCUUUUGUGUCUUUUAUUCUUGUAUUUCACCUUUCAUUCUUUCCUUCCUUCUUCUCAUUCUUACUAUCAUGUAUAUCUGGCUUACUUUUCUUGCUUUUAGUCUCUAUCUAGUACCUUUCAUUCCUUUAUUUCCCCGCCUAAGAGCCUUACUUAUUAGGUUGAGUACUUAACUCGCCCCUUCCACUCCAUACUGAAAUUAUUGGGCUACUGAGCCGGAUCCUGUCUUACUGGGCCACCCACCCUACCUUUAUGCCCUCCGGCUUUGACUCUACAACUAAUGCUUCUCAGACUUGAUAUCUCCUAUAGAAACCUUACACUACUUACUUGAACUCUGAAUUUCCUAUAUUUUCUUCUUAUCACUACUAUACUAAUAGAUUAGGCUGAUAGUUAGUCAUCUAAGACAAAACCCGAAGAAAGGAAUACUUAAACGAACAAGCGAGAAUGAUACAAAUACUGAAGUAAGGGUUCGGUUAGUCGACAGAGCAGUAGAGGCCUAAAGCCCAGAGGAGACCAGCUUGAAGCCUAGUAGUGAAAGCCUCAGUACGGGUGUUUUCAUUCCCAUCAGUCACCAGUCCCAUUAGAAACAUUCCCAUUGUUCUAUCUUAUUCUCCAACUGUCCCGCCUUAAAGUCCCGCAGUUACUUAUCUAACUAAUGGAAAUCACAACUACAAGAAUAACAGGUGUACUAUAGGGCCUAAUAGAAUUUCACUGGCAAUAACAAGACUCUAGCGACUGCUAAUAAUAAUUGAACUCAGUGGUGGCAUAAUCCAGCAGUAGACUCUCUCAACAGGUGCACAACGACAUAGUUAAGGAUACCUUAAGUCAUAAUAUCCCCUAAGGCUCUAACCACAGCAUACAAGAAUUCCAGUUUUGGGUGGGGAACAGGACUUCGCGGGGCUCCGGUUUUAUAUACCGUCCAGGCAGGCUGGCUAACAAGUCAAAUACAGAAUCGAAGUUAGGCGUUUCAACCCAAUAGUUAAGAGUGAAGGAUUCGACACCAGUUUAGGAUCUAGUUUAAGGUCAAGUAAUACAGGAUGUCAGGAAGGAGCCACAGACAGACCAAUAACCAAGAAAGGUAGACUUACUUACAGUAUAGUCAGAAUGGGGGGCAGGCCCGGAGCUAUUAGUGACAGAAUUAGAAGACGGGUAGUGAAGAUCCGACUCGGUCUCAACCGCUACGUGGACUUUAUCUUCGGCUUAUGUAUCAAACUUGACUCGCCCAGCUUCUUCUCUCGGAUAAAAAAGAGGAACCAAUUCAGAUGUUGCCCUCACCUUAUCCACCUUAUAAAGGGUACGUACGCAUAUAGCCAUUUAGGAGAUAUCAAAUUCCAUUCGUAGUUUGGAGCGCAUGUCUCUAUAUUUGUUAUAUUGAUAGUUUCUAUGCUAGAGUAACCCAUCCGUCCUGUCUUCAAUUCAUAAAUUCGAACUUACAAACUGCACUUCCAACCUAGGAAUCAUUCCCAUACCACUUAGAUUCAUAUGGGCUCCAGGCUACGCAACACAGGUCCAGUCCAGUCUUCUCCCCAAGGUGAGCAAAAGCAGUUUAGGCCUUCCGAACGCUUACUUAUUGGUCUUUACUACCUCGGUCUCUAUGCCAAGGUGUUUUGCCCGUUGCUUUCUGGGGGUAUUAUAGUUUGGGCUCUGACCGAAAGCAUUUUGGAUGAUUCCUUACUACUGUUUGGCGGAGGAACUUAUGGACACCCUUGGGGAAAUGCACUUGGUGCAGUUGCUUAUAUGGUCGCUUUAGAAGCAAGCGUGUGUACAAGCUCGUAAUAAGGGACGUGAUCUUGCUCAUCAAAUAUCAUUCUGAAUAGGGAAGAAGCUAUCAAAUAAAUGGAGCCCUGAACUAGCCACUGCUUGUGGAGUAUGGAAAGAGAGAAAAUGAGAAUUCGAACCCGUAGAGUUGAUUAGCAAGAUAAAGAUCCAAAGUCAGUGUGCAUAAUUCCUCCAUUCCUAUUUGUUCUCCUAAUGGAUUGCAAUUAAAGGCCUCAAAAAGCAGAUUCAGCCGAUUACCUCCGAUUACCUAAUAAUAUAAUAAGAAGUAGCAUCCCAUAUUCUCAUAAGUAAGGUCAGAGCUCUAUUCUAUGUACUGAUCUGCCCUAUCAAAACUAUAUCUAAAUACAAGAUAAGAUCGAAGACUAAACAACUCAAUACCGAGUUUGUUGUUGGAUCAAAGACUAAACAACUCAAUACCGAGUUUGUUGUUGGAUCCAAUCCUAUGAUGCUUGUGGAUUAUUGGACUUUUCCUCGAUCUCAUUCUCACACUACCUUCCCCUGUAGUCGAUCUCUACUAGGACUUUCCGAGCGAAAGGAGUCAGAUUAGUUGACUUUCAUGCGUUAGUUGUUGACUUUUUCUAUGUUAGUGAAAUGAAAAACGGAAUCAUUGAGUUGACUCUGUGCUAACGGGUCUUAAAGCAACAGAGAAAGUCAAAGGAGAAAGUCAAAGAAAGAAUAAGCCUAAGAGGGGCAAUGAGGGGCAAUGCAGAGUGAAAGCCCAGGAAAGGCAUAGUGAAAGGCAUUACUUUGCGAAUUCACCGAAGUUAGUGUUAGUGAAAUGAAAUGAUCUAGAGCCUUAGGGGAUAGGUAGAGCAGAAGAGUCAGUAUAGAAUCCUAAGAUAGAGCAUUCGAUCUAGCAGUCGAUUCAAAGACGAGAAAGAGGCCCGCUCCCUUAACCUUAACCUUGAUAAUUGCCUGACUUAGUGCCUAGCCCUUGAAAGUACAGUACUCUCUUAGCACCCUCGCUUGAAACUCCAAGUAUGACUAGUCGCAUACUGUGCUAUAUCUAACCACACUAUUCUUAUUAUUAUGUAAUAUUAUCUAACCACCCUAUAUUCUGAUUAUUAUGUAAUACAACGAACUCGACCUUGACAUUGUAUGAAACUAUAGCACCGACCGACACAAGAUGACAGGAUUACACCAUUACUGGAAUUCUGAUUUGUCAUUGAAAACCUUUGUUUGCUGGGGUGCGCUCCUAAUUAUGAGUUUACUUAUUGAUUCUCUUUGGUUACCUAUCUGCUCUCCUUGGUUACAUAACUAUAUCUAUAUUUGUGUCAGUCAACUUCUACUUCAUAAAAUAAACGGAGAAACUCUCCUUUCUUAAUCACCCAAUCAUAAGAAUUCCGCUCAUUCUCCGGGAAGCUACCCGGGUUUACAUCAAUCGAUAAAGGUACCCACUCACCUUUUCUCUUUUCUUGCCAACAAACCGGCGUGCUUUUCAUAAGAAAUCCCUGUUCGUUGUUGUUCGACUUGCCGUGGUAGGUUUGUUUGUGUCUCGGGUGCGCCAUCCCAUUACUAUAGUAACAUAUCCAUAUCAUACCAUAUUGUAUUAUAUCAUAUCAUACCAUACUCGGGAGCGAUGUCAGCAUCAUUGUAGCAGGUGAACAAGAAAAAGCAUUCUUCUUAUUAAUAGGAAACAUCUCUCUUUCUUCUCGACCUUGCCUCACACCUAGCUAUACGAGCGGAACUUCCCCUUGACUUGCUAUACUACACAUCUAUUAUUAUUAACCUCUUCGCUCGCCAACAACACAACACCUAUUUCUUGGAUUGAAACCAUAGUAUGGUGCACCGCAACACAACAUAUAGUAUGUUAUGGCACUAUGUUAUGAUAUGUUAUGAUAUUAUGGUAUAUAGUAUGAUAUGGUACAUUACGGUACACCAUACACAUACUCCAGGACGAAACAAACAUACCCAACAGAGAGCUCCCAUGGGACCAAUUCUUCUUAUAGCUUACCAUCUGAACAAUCACUCUCAGAGCAGCCAUCGGAUCAUUCUGUGAGCAAAACAAUGUGCCCAAUCAUUCUAAUCUCAGAGCUACCAUCGGACCCAUCAUUCUGUGCUAUGGCCCAAGCACUCUGUCUUCGCAAUGGUCCAGCAACUCUGUCUUCUAGGGCGAAAGGUCGUCGCAUGGCACACCCCUAUUGAUUUGGAUUGAAAACCCGGCGUAUGAUACAAAACACACCCCUUUUUAUUGAUACAUUGAUUGAAACCAUAGUAUGACACAACACACCUGGAGCGGACCAGAAAUAAGUCUGCGUGUGAACAGCCAUUCAUUCAGUCAUUCUACAAUGCACUUAACGACAACUACGGGAAUGAAACACUACCGUUGCAGCACACUACCUUAUUGAUUUUCAUAAGAAAAUGUAAGGAAACAAAGCAUUAUUCACCAGCGUAUCCAUCUUACUCACAGCCGGGCAAGCACCGAGCCUUAUUAUGUUUCUUUCUAUUUCAUAAUUGUUAGUGAUUCCAGCUUAGGGGAGUAGUUAUGACUUAAUAUUCUCAUAAUCAAAGAUGGGCAACGCAGGCUUAAAUACAAGGGGGGAAGGCUUAAACUCAGCAGCGACAGACUGAAUCCAGGGAGUUACAGACUCAGAUCAGUGCUUCCAAGCCUGCUACUGGUGCUAUUGGUACUCGGAAUGGAGCUGGUGCAGGGCAGAAUGGAGCUAAGGAAUCUUUCGCUCGCUACCGUUUAGCUCAGGCUCCCGAAAGCAUCUACGAAGACAGUUUAAAGCUCCUCCGCGACACAUUAGCAGUGUCUUGGCGGCUAUAGCUCCUGCCGUCGGAAGCAUAGACGAAGACAGGACUUGUUUAUAAUUGCUGCCGUACAACGUCUUUCGCCGUUGCUUGGCCGUUAUACCUAUUACCUGCUGCCGCGCAACAUUAGUAGUUGCUUGGCCCGUUGCUUGGCCGUUAUAUCUAUUACUAUUGCUACCGCCGAGAGCAUCUACGAGGACAGGACUUGUUUAUAACUUGUUAUAAUUACUUAUUGUUGUUGCUGCCGCGCAGCUUUCAACUCGCUGCCGCGACACGCGAACACAGGAAUUGUUAUAACUGCGUUAUAACAUACUAUUGUUGCUGCCGCACAACGUCUUACUUAGUUGCUUGCCUAUCCGUGUCUUGGCGCGCCGUUGCUUGGCCGUUAUAACUGGUUAUUCCGGCCGGGCUGCCGCGUCACCGAACGCAUAGAAAGUAAGAGAACAAACAUAACCCCGAACACAGGAGCGGCCCUGCCGCGACACCGAACACAGGACUUAUUCUUAACUGGCUAUAACUACUUAUUUGUCCUACUGCCGCACAACGGCGUAGCCGUUGCUUGCCUAUCCGUGUCUUGGCUGAGUUUAUUAUUCUAGAUGAGUUUGAGGCCUUGGCGCGCCGUUGCUUGGUCGGCACAUUAGUCGUGCCUUGGUCAUUAGUAGUUGCUUGGUGGCUUAAACGAGAGAGCUACAGGCUAUCCGACCCGGGUCAAGGAAUAGAGCUAGUGAAUGACAGCCUUAGCUAUACGAAUUGGAAUCAGGAAUAGGAUCGGAGGCAGAAGAGACCUUACGUACUUUCUUCUUUUCUUACCUGAACCCAACCAGCUACAUUGAGAGUCUACAGUUUCAAGAGCCAAAGCGGAGUUCUACGCUCCCUUAUGCUUAGUCAGUUCCCUUAUUCUUAUAAGUCAUAUAACUCACUAGUUGACUUCUUUCUGGCCAACCGAGUUGUGUUCCUUCUUGACCAACCCUAGUUCUCUUUCUCGCCAAUCCACCUAGAAAGUGAGAAUUGCCCUCCUUCUCGCAAACCAACCUAGAAAGUGAGAAUUGCCCUCCUUCUCGCAAACCAACCUAAGUGCUCUAUUCUUAAAUUCAGUAGAGAUUUAUAUCUAAGAUAAAGAAAAGAGAAUGUACUCGUUGUCCGGUAAUCGUGUACAGAGGAAUUAUUGUUCCCCGCCUAGGUAUGAGAGAUCCAGGUAACUCACCCACCCAGUGCUUCUUAUCUCGAAAGUCUUAAUGGAACUCAAAGGUCAGAAUCAGAGGAAUUAGCCAGGUAUUAUGGAAGUAUAAGAAGGUCACUAACCAUAAGAAGGUCACUAACCAUACUGGUAAUGGUGUAUCUGGCUCUACUCUUUGCUCUGCCAGAACGGAAAUCGCUUGUCUAGUAUACGCUUGGCAAAACGAUAAGUACUAUAAAGUAGAGAAAAAGCUACAAGGGAAUAAGUAAACAAGUAGUAAGCAAGCCAUUGUGUAUUAGUGAAUUAGCCGUUGCGCAAGGGAACCAAUUCAGAUUAGGGGCUCGUCUACGAACAGCCUUUAGUAGUCUGAGAUGAGUGUUUCCCUAGCAUAUGAGUUUACCCAGGGCAGGGUUAAACGACGAGAAAGAUGAAGUUCAAGCCCGCCGCCUUAUUCAGCCAAAACCUUUAUUAUGACCUUCCUCAGCGCACUUCCAUAGAGUCUCUUUGGAUGGGGCAAGUGUUGUAGUUCAAUUCAAAAAGGGAUGCUGUGCGCAGAAAGUCUCUCGGAACAGGGGCAAGAGUCGGGUCAGCACAGCUGCAGACAAGCUACUAGUCCCCUUAAGUAAUUGGUUGCGCGUAAGUCUCAAUUAGUUCGAGUUUGUUGAGUGCGAGGCAGAAUAUACUAAGUAAUAAGUUUGAGAGCUCAGAGUCUGGAGACGAGAAAGAUGCCUUAUAGCCUUUACUUGGAUUAUUGCCUUACUUGUAUAAUGUCCUUAUGAUGCGAGGUAUACUUCUGUAUAGUCUCUUUCUACUCUUGUUUCAUCCUAUUUCGAAUUAUAAGCUGUUCGAGCAUUAGGAUCUGAAACAAACAUAAGAUGUCAAAUAAGCAGGAUAAGAAGCUUUUCAAAAGUCUGCUGCAAUAUUGAAGGUUGGAAAUUCGAAAGGUGAUCUCGCUAACAGAGCUUCUACGCUAAGGGAGGGAGUGACGAUUAGUGCUUCAGAAGCCCUAGUAUGAGUCUCCUGUUCCUUUGAUACAGAUUCGAUUCGGCUUUCCCACCUGAACCAUCUUUUGAGUCCUUUCCUGUAGACAACACCUCAGCAUUAGAUUCUCGGUAUACCUAUAUUCUGGCUAAUUCUUAUGUUUCCUCUUAUCCAGUACUUGAUGAUUCCCUUUUCUCUGCUUUUCUUCUCUGACCUUCACUGCUAAACCAGUACUGAAUUCUCUUCUUUAAGGUUACCAUUACUUCCAGCCUCAGAUCAGUAUUCUGCUUCAAAGCCUGCCUUAUUACCUUAACCGGGCCAGGCCAGUACUUUUCUUCUUACUCAAAUUCAUUAGUUACUUGACACUUUUACCAACAGCUAAAGUCCAAAGAGAAACCGGAGAUUGGGCUCCAGAAUAAAGGCUCACACAGGACUUGCUCAUGGCAACAUACUAACUAACUAGUAGUGGCUUUUCUAGUAGUUACUCGGCGGUUAGUAGUCACUUGUCGGAUACAACACUUGAGAUACAGCUUCUCUUACAACACCAGUAGUGCAGGCCAGGACGAUCUACUUUACAGCUUUAGCCACUAGACUUUCUCCCCUAGCUUGCGGAUUGUGAUCUACUCCUUUAGAUAGCUUAUACUUUCAAUUCCUUAGCGUAACUCCAUAAGCGCCCUUACUUUGGAUCUACCUUCAAAUUCCCUUACUUGUUCACUCCUGACUAUAUGGUGCACCUAUUCUAUAAUUGAGUCACAAUACAUCUUAUAACUAUUGGUAAUAUCGGCACAGUUCUAUACUUACAAUAGUCAGCCCUCAUUGAACCUACAACUCGAGAAAAGGCUUUUUUCGACAAGCAAGGGCGUUAGUUGAGUCAGGAUAACAAGCUAAAAGGGCGAAAAAAUCGAAUAAUGUACUUUAGUCAGUGUAGGGGUGAACUCAAUUCAUUUGUUCUUCAAGUUCGGAGUGCGCCUAUGACUUUCAAGUAAGGAGAGCCAUAUAAGAGAAAUGAUCUACUAUGCAAAAGAGAAAUUAUUUGAGAACUUGUAUUAGUGGUGCUUGAAACAAACUAGGGCAAUAAAAGAAGUACUCUCGUAUAGCGUGAAGCUGACUAGCGGAGUUCCUCAAGUCGUGGCCUCAUCAAUUCUUAAAGAAAGGGCACAAGGGAGUUCCAAUUUCCAUCUUCCAAUCUUUGACUUUCUGUUAAAAGGGGACUUCGACUCAAAUCCAUGUUUGUUGGCGACUCUAGUAAUUGCUUUUCCGUAUAGUAGUUACUUGUUGAGUGGAAUCCGUCUUUGUUGUCUACUUGUUUUUUUCUGAAAGUUGAGAGUCCGGAGCAGGGUAUUUCCAUUCCUCUAUUACUGGUGUAAGAUCUAUAUUCUUCAAUUCCAUUCAAAGAGCUUAUGCUUUAGAUUCCAUUCAAAGAGGAGAAGUCCGGGUUAGUUGGAGAACCGUAGUGCUAAGGUAGUUUACAGCUAAUUUCUCUCUCGUCCACUUUCCAGUUCAAUUCCAUUCUUCACUGAAAUAAGAGUUCGGGUCGAUAACACACCUCCUAUCCAUCUAUAAAGAUGCUAAAGUGGGCUGGGCUAGAUAUGGAACUAAUUGUCCUGAGAAGAAACGCUACAAAAUUCUAUAUUAUCUUAUUAUAGGAUGAUAUUUACAAUAGUCCGAGGCAGUAGCUUGGCAGAUCGGAAGAAACAGAAAAGAAAUUGUAUUGGAGAUCAUCAACAGUCGAAGUCAAGUCUCUUGUUGUUGGCGAAAGAGUCGAAGUCAAGUCUCUUGUUGUUGGCGCAAGUCCUUUGUUUGGGAGUAGUUAGUUGCCCUUAUAUUAAGUAGCAAUAGAGGGAUGAGCCUUAAGUAAAAUGGGUAAGUUAUGAAAGUGUAGUUCAAUAGCAGUUACGUAUCAGUGCAAGCCAGAGUCGAGUCAGAUAAGUAGUACGCCCAGAGUCAGAUAGUUAAGAAGUCAGAAUUAGACUCAGCAGCACAAGAAACAAGCUAUAGUAAGUAAAACAAAGAGACAAGCUUUCGAACAGAGCUAUAAGACAAAGAAGUAGUGGUAUGGAUCUAUCGCAUCCAGUAGCGGACUGAUGGGAGUGUAUAAAUAGAAGAAUGCUUCUUUAGUGUGUGAGGGCAUAAUGCACCUUCAAAGCAGGGUGAGCAAGGGAAGGGCGUAACCGAACUCAUAAGUAGCAGACCGCAACGCAGGGCCUAAACACAGAAGUGAGCCUACCAACUCGUCACUCUAACUCUUCAACAAUGCCCUCUUGACUUGCAUUCUAUUCUAUAGUACCAGUGGAAACCUACCCUACCAUAUUUUGGAUUAAUAGCAUAUGGAGCGGCUCUUGCUUGUAUCAAUAUUCGAAAAAACCUACAGCUAUUAUGGACUGGAACCACUACUCUAAAAGGCUCUCACUACUCUACUUGAAAGAAUGGAACUUGGAAUAAAGAGAAUCGUCCCUGGGCAGCGAACAACGAUGGUCCACAGGCCGGGCAACUGUCCCUGGGCAGCGAACAACGAUGGUCCACAGGCCGGGCAACUGUCCUAGGUAUGGUCAGCUGACUUAAGAAGAAUUCUUUUGACUUACAAUAAUGAUUCCUGGGGGCUAAUAAUAAGAAUGCUUUUCUCUUGUCUAACCGAGUAUGGAUGGUAUGGUACUAUGGUAUGGUCAUUCAUGUCAUUGUUCGUUGGUGCAUCGCAAAGUGAAGUAAUAAGUAAGUUAAUAUAUAAUAAUAGAGUCCAAAGCUCAGUAAUAGAAGAAGCUCAGUAAUUGUAAUAUCAUAAUAGUCAUUAAUAUACCAUAAUAGAUUCCGAAGCUCAGUAAGAGAAUCACCGGCUUCCACAUGAGUCAUGGAAGAAUCGUCAUUGGUUCCAAAAGUCUGUUUCAGCUCGAUUCGCAUCUUGAUUUGCUACUCUCAUUUCUUUUGCCAGACACUUUUCAUUCCUUAAGCAAACACCACAUAGUCUUUUCUUAGCCCCAUUCAUUCUGUGUGAGCGGAAAGAUAUGCUCCCGUGGGUCAUUGGACAUCGGCACAAAGGUACUAAUUCAGAAAGUCAAAGCACUCGUUCUUGUAGUGGAACCGCUCAUUCACCCAUGAAACGAAAGUGUAGGUCCCGUUCCGUCCCUGGCAACGUAGGUACCCAGUUCAUUGUUCGUUCGUUCGGUUCCCGGGCUAACUCUUUCUUUGAGCAGCAUCGCCCAGUAAUAGAUGGAAGGCGCGGGCGGGGAUGUGACUGUGACUGAACGAGCCACUAAGAGAAGAAUCAACAAACAAGGGGCCAAGCAUAUACUAAAUAGGGUUCACUCACUACUCAAGCAUAUACUAAAUAGGGUUCACUCACUACUUAAGUAAUAGAAUGAAUAGGACAGGUAUAAGAAUUAGGCUCAGGGCCAUAAUACAUAAUUGAUAGUUUUCAGGGUCAAACUCUACCAUCAAGGGAAGCAGUUCUCAAGUGUGAAAAUACUCUGACUUCUACUAUAGGUCGACAGCAGCUCCGGUAACAAUUAAUAUAUAAGAAAUAUACCUUUGACUCAGCCAAGCAACUACGUUAGUAUAGCGUUAGUCUUAUUUGUGUCAUUACAAUUCCUGUUUUUGGGAGCCCCGGAUCGGUUGAUUGUUCCUUAAAGAAGAUAAUCAGGGUUGACUGUUCCUUAAAGUAGUCGUGUUUCCUUAAAGUAGUGGUCCAAGUCGUCUUUAUUCGACACCUCGCAUCAAACCAAGAAUAUCAUCCGUACCACGGAAACUAUAUUAUCUUAUAAGAAUCUCAUUGGCACUGUCAAAAGGCGUAUACUUAGAAUAAGGGAUCAGAAGCGGAAAAAGUAUCCAAUCCAGUAGCAGUGUUGUCACCCAUGCGAGUAUGUCAACGAUACCAGAAUAAGGCUCCUAGGCAGCAGUGGUCUCAUAGAAUCAGUAACUACCCAACCAUGGGCUCUUUCUUCUUUAUUAUCAGAUUCAACUCGGGGCC
RNAcentral lists this long non-coding RNA (57723 nucleotides) under Musa acuminata (dwarf banana). Its description in RNAcentral is "long non-coding RNA (MACU_LNC007431)". Lineage: Eukaryota; Viridiplantae; Streptophyta; Magnoliopsida; Zingiberales; Musaceae. The record is from RNAcentral.